RNAcentral lists this long non-coding RNA (54732 nucleotides) under Oryza sativa (Asian cultivated rice). Its description in RNAcentral is "long non-coding RNA (OSAT_LNC000200)". Lineage: Eukaryota; Viridiplantae; Streptophyta; Magnoliopsida; Poales; Poaceae. The record is from RNAcentral.
CAGGUUGUCUAUCAACAACUACAACGCUGAGCUUGUGAGGUUAGGGCAUCCACAAUGUAUCACUAAAGUGGGCAUUAUGCAAUAAAUGCAGCUCUAAGGACAGGCAAUAUACAUUGUGGAGGUAGUCCAUAUGGCAUUAAUUGCUAAAGCAGUCUUUAGCUAUAUGGGCUGGCCACAAGGAAAUAAAAUACAAUACUUUUUCAGUUCACUGUGUACAAAUGAAUAUAAAAUCUAAAGCAGUUGGUGCUGGUGCGUGAGCAGCCGAGCAGGUGUCCGUUGAAGUAGCCAUUGCUGCUGGGUGUUGGCUCUCCUUCUCCAUGCUCCUAUAAAACAGACCAACAAGAGAUUUCAGUUUGUAUCUCUUCAUUUCAUCAGGAGAUGGAUUCAUCCAACCAAAAAUUCAUAGAUCUUCUCAGUCAAGACUCUCCAAACCAUGCAGAAAAGCCUAGCCACAACUCCCCUCCCCAACAAUUCCCCAAUAAUUUUCCCCAAUCUCAGUUUACCCAAAGCUUCAACCCACAUUUUUUACACAAUUUCUAUCCAUUUCAUUCCCCAAGCAACUAUCCACCAUAUGGUCAUUCUCCUCCCAGCUUUCAAGGUACUCCUCCAAGCUUUCAAGGUAUUCCACAUCAAGGAAAUUGGGCACAACCUAAUUUAGCCAGCUUACAAGGUUUCCAUUUGCAAGAAAAUAUGGUGCACUCACCAAAUCAGGGGUUUGGAACUGCAAACCACCAAGCAAUAUUUGCACUGCAACACCCCUCAGUUAGAGCCACUCCCAACAGUUCUUUCCAUGGGUCGGAGUCAUCGACUCCCUGCCCUGCAAGACAACAAGAAGCGCCAGUUAAUCUCGAGUCGUCAAGUGAAAGCAGCGAAGACAGAGGUGAGGAGAGCAACACGCACCAAUUGGACAGAAGAGGAGAACUUACGGUUAAUUAGUGCUUGGUUGAGCAACUCGGUUGAUCCUACAGAUGGAAAUGACAAAAAGGGAGAGUAUUAUUGGAAGGAUGUGGCUGAUGAGUUCAAUAACAACCGUCCUACAAAUGGCCACAAGAGGACAGUCAAGCAAUUGAAGACACACUGGGGAAAUGUUAAGAAGGACAUUGGGAAGUUUUGUGGAGUUUAUGCUCAAGUUAGACGUACCUGUACCAGUGGACACUCUGAUGACAUGAUCAUGGAAAAAGCUCAUCUAUGGUACAAGAAUCAAUCAAAUCAGAAGAAGCCUUUCACCUUAGAGUAUAUGUGGAGAGAGCUCAAGGAUCAACCAAAAUGGCGAAGUAUUAUCAAAAAGGAAGAAAACAAGAACAAGAGGACUAAGAUUUCUGAGUCAGGAGCUUACACAUCCUCAUCAAACCAAGAGACUGAAGAAGAAUCAUCAAACAAAGAGAGACACCCCGAGGGACAGAAGAAAGCAAAAGAGAGAUUAAAAGGAAAAGGAAAAGGAAAAGCUCAAUCUUCUCCGUUGGGGAACCAGCCAUCUCAGAACAUAGUUUUGUACAACGAAGCUAUGAAAAUUAAAGCUGAAGCAUUAUUGAAAUCAGCAGAGGCAACAGCAAAAUCAGCAGAGGCAAAACGGGAACAAAUAAGGAUGGAAAAGUGGCAGGCAUACAUUAAACUGGAAGAAAAAGAUACCUCUAAUUUUAGUGGAGAAGCUGAGAAGGCAUGAAGCUAUGUUGAACAAAUUAUCUAAAGAACUAGCUGAGGAAUAAAGGAGAAGCAUGUUAUUGUUCCACUGUAGUGCUUAGUGUAUGAUAAGUUUAGUUGUCAAAUUUGGUGUAUUGCUGAUGUACUUGUCAUUUUCAGAAUUUAGCUCUAGUACUAAUGUAAAAGCUUAGUGUACGAUUAAUUUAGUUGGCAAAUUUUUGUGUAUUGUUGAUGUACUUGUCAAUUUCAGAAUUUAGCUCUAGUACUAAUGUAAAAGCUUUUACUAUAUCCCCACUUGUAUUAUGCAAGAAAUCACAUUUUUUACCGCACAUCUCUGCUCUUAAUAUUAUUUUUCAUUCAUGAGUCAUGAUAAUCUUCAUGAAUACAUUGCAGUACAGAAAAACCCAUACUUACAAGAUGUAGGGAUAAUUUUCUUCGCAAUUCAGUUAUUACUCCAUACCUGCACAUAUAACCAUAAUAAGAAAUAUAGAUGAUAAGCAAAACAUAGCUGUUGGAAUAGUGCCAAAAGGAAGAAAUAGUUGUCACAAACUAGCUGUUGGAAUGCUGCCAAAAGUAAAAAAUAGCUGUUGCAAACUAGCUGUUGGAAUGCUGCCAAAAGUAAAAUAUAGCUGUUGCAAACAAGCUGUUGGAAAUGUAUCCUACAUAUAAGAGAUGAAGUGAGGAAGACACUACUCACAUUCUCACUACCCACUUCAUUCAGCCUCUUGGAAGAUACCACUCCCCUCUCACUGCCCCCUCCAUUCAGCCUCAACCAACUUAGGAAAAUGUCAGCCAACUCCCAAGAACAAUCUAAUCGUAUAGAAGAUUCUCUCACCAGUUCCAAUCUAGAAGAGUUGAUGUGGGAAGAAAUCAAUGACCCUAUGGAGGCUGAAAUUGAAGAUCAGAUUGAAGCAGAGCUAGAGGCAGAACUAGCUGGACCAUCUACUCAGCGUGGGGGCUACACACGCAGGUACAUCAACAGGGAUCAUGAAGAGGAUCAUAACAGAUUGUUUGCUAAAUACUAUUAUGACAAUCCUUUGUACACUGAUGACCAAUUUCGUCGGAGAUUUCGCAUGAGAAAGCAUCUAUUUUUGCGCAUUGUUGAAGCUCUUGGUGUUUGGUCCCCAUAUUUUCGUCUAAGACGAGAUGCAUUUGGCAAGAUGGGUCUAUCGCCACUGCAGAAAUGCACGGCUGCCAUCAGAAUGUUGGCAUAUGGUACACCAGCUGACCUUAUGGAUGAAACCUUUGGAGUAGCAGAAACAACAGCAAUGGAAAGCAUGAUUAAUUUUGUUCAAGGUGUGAGGCAUUUAUUUGGUCAGCAAUAUCUUAGGAGGCCUACUCAAGAGGAUACUCAACGUUUACUUCAAUUUGGAGAGGCACAUGGGUUCCCUAGAAUGUUAGGUAGCCUUGAUUGCAUGCAUUGGCAAUGGGAAAAUUGCCCGGUUGCGUGGAAAGGGCAAUUCCCCCGUGGUGAUUAUGGAGUAUCGACUAUCAUGCUAGAAGCAGUUGCCUCUGCUGAUAUAUGGAUUUGGCAUGCAUUUUUUGGGGUUGCUGGUUCUAACAAUGAUAUUAACGUAUUGGACCAGUCACCAUUGUUCACUGAGGUACUACAAGGAAGAGCACCUACUGUUCAGUUUACAGUUAAUGGGUCUGACUAUAAUAUGGGAUAUUAUUUAGCUGAUGGUAUUUAUCCAGAGUGGGCAGCAUUUGUGAAAUCUAUCAAGAGACCUCUGAAUGACAAAGCUAAAUUGUUCGCACAACGCCAAGAAUCAGCAAGAAAAGAUGUGGAACGAGCUUUUGGGGUUUUACAGAAACGUUGGGCCAUCAUACGUCACCCAGCGCGUCUUUGGGAAAGGGAAGAACUGGCUGAUAUCAUGUAUGCAUGUAUAAUUUUGCAUAACAUGAUAGUUGAGGAUGAAAGAGGCACCUAUGAUAUACCGGAUGACAAUACAUAUGAGCAAGGACAUUUUUCGGCACAAAUGGCAGGGCUUCACCAUGGCCCAAUCUAUGGAUUUGAAGACGUCCUAGAGAAAAACUUGUUGAUUCGUGAUCGAGCAACCCAUCGUCGUCUCAAGCAAGAUUUGAUGGAACACAUAUGGCAAAAGUUUGCUGGCCAACAACAUUAGAAUUUAUUACUUUUAUCACUCUUGACUAGUUUAUUAGUUUGUUAUUAAUCUUGUACUUUGCUAGUUUGUAUUCAUGCUCUCAUCUUAAUUUGCUAGUUUGUAUUCAGGAACCGAAUUUAAGAUUUACAUGUUUCUUGGACUGAGAUUUUAACUAUUUGUAUUUUGACUCCGAUUUGUUCUCUUUUACUUUUUUUUAAAUAACUCAAGCACAACCAGAACUGGAUAUUCAACCACAAGAUGAACACAUAUAUUAUUGUUGCACUAAAUGAAUCGAGCUGCAUGCAUACGACUUGCCUCCAGCAACCAGAUCAGGACAUCAAUAACCUCUAGUGCCAAGCAAAUCAUUAAAAUCCCAAAGGAAUAUAGAACUAGGUGAUGAUUAACCUGCAUUGCAUCUGUGCUUUCGUCUCAGCUGAGAGACGUGCCUGCUAGCUUCUUGUCACAAGCUGCAGCCUUGCCGUGGCCGUCCGUCCCCCGCGCGCUAGCUUGCGGGACUCUAGCCGGCCGGCCGCUGCGCGCUCGCCGCUCCCGCGAUCGGCCGGAUGGCCGUCUGGCCGCCACGCGCUUGCCGCCGGCUGCCGAGUUCACGCGCUCGUCGCUCCCGUGGCUGGCCGGCUCCUGGCAGCCGUCCGCUCCUCCAGAUUUCCGCCCGGCGACGGUAGGGUUUCACCUUGCUCGCGCGAAUUGGGGAUCUGAGGCGGAGGAGAGACGGGGAAGUUGAGAAGAAGAGAUAUUUUAUUUACACGUGGGACCCACCUUAUCUUCACAUAGGCUACAAACAUUGUGAGAUUUGCUAUAACUGAUGCCUCCUGCUGUGGGACCCACUCUUAUGGGCUGCUUCAUACAUAUACAUUGCUCAUGCCCUUAUAUAUUUGCUUCCUACAUUUCUCUCCUCCGAACUUCUGCACAUGAGAAGAAACAAUGGGUAGGUUCAUUCACUAUUCUAAGUGGCAGGAAGUAAAGACUGUCAACAAUUAUGCUUUGUUUAUAGGAUACAUGUCGAUGGCCGUCAGGGUGAUGGGCUAUCUUGUGGUUUUAUGGACAACCGUUAUCCUCCUUGGCGGUUUUGUAUCAGCGCUAGAGAAGAAGGAUUUUUGGUGUUUCACAAUAAUUACCCUCGUCCAGACAAUCGGGUUAGUUUGGUUUUCAAUUAGUCUUGCAUAUUCAAUUUUUCACUACUAGGGUUGCCCCGUGUAUUAGAAUAGCUAGAUUUGCUAUUGAUUAUACUUUUUAUAUAUAACUGAUAUAGGAAUUCAGCCCCCAUGUCUACAUAUGGAUAUACACAAUCAAAGAGUUGCUGCCUAUACCAAAUUUGCUAUGGAAUUACAAUUGUGAAUAUCACCGCUAGCCAUGCUCAGUAUCAAUAAUGAAGUUAUAACUUAUGAAAAGAAUUAGACAAUAUAGAUUAUUAAUGUGUUUAUCAAUACAAAAAUAAAGAAAUUCCAAUUGAUUUACACUGGGAGGAAAAGGCGCCAUGCAUAUACUACCUCUAUGCACAAACAUAUGACAUUGGUUAGUUUAAUUUUGAGCUAAGCAACGUCAAACAAAAAAAAUAUGGAGGGAGCAUUAAUUUCCUUUCACUCUUUCAGGGUCUCCACUGUAUUUCCGAGAGAAAAUCUGAAGAAAAUUGUGUUGUCGUACAUCCUGGGCUUUGUAUCGACUACAUAUACCUUUUACGUACCCAAAAACAGCAAGGAUGACAAGAAUAUUAGAGCUGAAAAUAUGAAGGAUGAAGAUGGUGAUGGUGGGCGCAGGACCAGCAAGGAAAAACCCAAGCAUUGGCCACGGUGGCUGCGUAGAUUGGCGGCAUUUGUCGCUUAUCUGGUACAGCAGCUGGUGUUCGCCGUCGUAGCGGGGCCUCUCGCGCUUGCCGUAGCGGUGCUGUACGCUUGCGGGCUGGUCAUCACCACCGGCCUCGCCGCUUGGCGCCUGCUGCAUCGCGACUACGGCGACGGCAGCAACAACCUGCGGCCGGCGCUGGACGUGCUCUACACCAUGGUACUCCUCCAGGGCGUGCUCUCCUACUACCGCUUCUCCUCGGACUUCUGGCAAUCAAGGCUGACAAACAACGUGGCCAAGGCGUACAACUUCCACCACUGGCGUCAUUUUUAUGCAUUCGUAUCGUUGCGUAGGUACAUCCAUGAAACGAGGAUCGGGUGCGAGAAGGACCCGUCCUUCGCCAAACGAAGGAAUUUGGUUAAGUAUGCCGUGGACACCAUGAUUGAGUCUGAAUUUCCAAACUGCUGGAGCUUCGUCUGCGGGGCAAGCAUCCUCGGUGCGCUUCUUGAGAACCCCAAGCUGGAAGAGCAACACAGCCUCAUCAAGGAGCACCUGGCCUGGUCGCCCUCCGGCGCCGGCGACUUGCUCCAGAAGCUGGUUCAGUCGUUGGAUCCCGCGAGGGGAUACCAUUACAUAACAAGCAUCUCCGCGGCGCGGAUCCUUGCACACCUCGCCGGUGAUCUCCGCCGCGAGCAGCUCAAUUUCCCGCAAGGCAUCCACUCGAUUGCCUCGCUGGUGGAGCCCCCCGGCGAUGAGAAGGGUGACGAGUACAACGCCUUGGAACACUUCCAAGAGCUGAUGGUGGAGGGCCUUCGUCUCCUUGCGAAACUCGUCUCCGACGAGGAAUGGUGCCGUGUCAUUGCUGAGAAGGAAGGCCUGCUCGCCAAGAUCAUGGUGCCACUACGUUCUGACAUGCACCACACUAAGUACCACUCCGUUUGUAGUGAUUCGGAGAGGCCGAUCUGCAGAGAAAUGAUCGGCGCGUCCAUCCAAGUGAUGCGCCAAUCUGGUGACUACUCCUGGCGCCACCGGCGAGAUGGUACGCUGUGAAAUCUCAGGCAACACGGACGCAAUGACCAGCCUGGAGAGUAUUGUCCACUGCGACCGAUGCGAUGAUUGCCUGCUCAUGGAAGGAGCACUGGAGAUCUACAGCCGACUGCGGCGUGGGGACGACGCACCUUCGACCAUAGCAACAAUGAGAGAGCAUUUCAUCAAGAGACUGGUGCUCAUCUUCACUCAACAUACCACUGCUGAAGAUGACAGAGUCGAUUUGCUGGCUGGUGAAAUGCUUGCGAAGCUAUGUUCCCAUGGCAAAGAAAACACCACCAAAAUCCUGCGAGCAAAACAAGAUGUGAUCGGUGAUCUCACCGGCAUGCUUGAAGACAAAAUCACCAAGUGCGGUAUAAUCGCAGCGCAAAUUCUGGAGCAUUUGUGUAUUCAUCACUCUGACGAUGAUGAAUGUGCCCAGAACCUCAAAGAACGUAUAAAGUUUGGGAUGCUAAAGGUACCAACCAAAAAAAAAAGAAGAAGCAUGCAUAUGCUUUGUUUUUGUCAACAUGUUAUACUGAUGAUAGACUUACUUUUGCAGGUGCUUGCAAAACCGCGUGACGAAUAUGUGAAUAGAGAAACUCUCACAGCAGUUUUAUCUCUAAGUGUGACGAUAUCACGCAACUUAAUGAAUGCCCGAGAUUUACCUCCUCUGUUCGAUGCUAUUACCAGUGAAGCCGGCGGCUUCAGCAUUCUAGGUAAGGUCCAGCUCCAGAAGAUGAUCGAGAGAUCAAGUUGUUUAAAUACGGCCAACGAACUGAAAACAGUGAAGCUUGUCGCGGAUUUAUUAAUACUAACUGUUAAACAUGGAAGCCGCGACGCCAUACGGGACGCAAAGGAAUUGAUUGAAUCACUGUCCGAGGUUGCGAAAGAAAUAUCGGAUACUGAGAACUUCAUGGUUAUCGCUGGCGGUAGCGACCCAAAGACCCUUGAUUCUUUCGUGAAAGAAGCAGAGGACCAACUCCUGCGCAGAGUCGGCAGAGAGGAUACACCUGAAAUGGCAGUGGUAAUUCAACAUCCUAGCUCUGUCAACGGAGCCCAGGCAGAGUAAAUCAUAUGCAUCAUUUAUUCGAAAAUAAAAUCAUGUUCAGCCUGUACUUUGUUAAUCUGUACUCUAACAAUCGUUGCAAAAGGAAUUUUAGUAUCCUUGAAGAGGUACCAUUGGAUGCCAUCUAUUUUGAGGUAGUUGUCACAUCCAAUGUUCAUUUGCUAGGCAUGAUAGGCAUUAGGCUGUAGACAGUGCCUAUCGCUAGACAUACGGCUAGUCAUCGUCUUCUAUUUUAUGAUAUCUCCACUUCUCUUCCGGCGAGCAGGGGCACCGGUGUCAUUGUUUAGGACAAAAAAAUACGAAAAUAUCUCCCUCUAUGUUUAGAGAGAAAAUAAGUGCGGGCGUGCCAGUGUACCUAAGUACACAAAAUAAAACAAAAGAGAUAUAGAAACACAUGAUCUUUAUUAAUUGAAUUAACAACAUACAUUUUCCAUGUAUAAUAUAAAAUGCGCGCGCCAUUGCCUGUCGUUGGACAAAUCUUGACAUCAGCGAUGUGGUCUUCUGAUUCCCAGGGCCUCGAGAAGCUCCUGGUUAAUUACCUCUGCAGGUUUAGGCCUGCAGAGAACCUCCGAUUAAGCUGCUAGUGGUCGUCUCAUUGUCUUUGCUUCGCAUUCAACAUGCAUGGUUGUGAUGGUGAUGUAAAUGUGGGUGCCGGCAGCGAUCCACGGCCUCGUCGGUCCGUGCGCCGGUGUUGGUGACGUAGCCUUAGCGUCGGCUUCGCCCGCCCUCGUCGCUCCGCCUCAUCAGUCUUGAGCGACGUGGUGGUGUAGAUAGAUUGAUCUUCAGCAUGCAUGGAACUCGCGUAGCUUGGACGGUAGAGAAGUCACAGCAGCGACAUCGGGAUAGUAUUAAAGGGAAGAAGAGUUGAUGACAUCAGUUGGUGUACGCGACAGCCGAAUAUACAUGGCUGGGCACCUCCUGGCUAGGUGAGAUCAAAGUGACGAAGAGUUGACAAAGACGGUUGGUGUAGAUGGCAGCCGGAAUAAACAUGGCUGGGCACCUCCUGACCCAUCAUGCCCCUUAUACGGCAGGGACUUGUAAUGAAAAUGUUGAUGAAGAAGUCGGUGCAGACAACAGCCGGAUAAACAUGGCUUAGCACCUCCUUUAGAUGAUGGGUCUACUAUUGAUCCAGUUGAUAUGAUAACGAGCCCGUAAAAGGGGCUCUAUGAGGGCGCCGGUAACGACGGCGACCUUGGAAGAAGUAAAUGCCUCGUCAGCGGAACCGUUGAGGGCAUUUGUUGGUGUAGAUUAAGCAUGAAUGGUUCCCUGGCAUCACAGAUGACACCAUUCUUACUUUAUGCUGAUGUAGACUAGCGACGCUCCAAUACACGGACAAGCGGCGACAUCUCGAUCCCAACGAAGAGGGAGGGAAUCACGGACGGACAACAUCGAUCGUGAUUAAGAGGAGAGAGCACAACAGACGGAUGGCAUCUCAUCUUGGCGUGAUGAAGUGAAAGCAUUGUAGACAGAUAGCGUCUCAUCAUGUGGUGUAGAGAGAGAGAUGUCACGGAUGGACGGCACGACAACUCCGGCUUGGCGAAGUGCAGGCGUCAUGGAAGAACUUGAUGACGAUUCCGCCUAGACGAGGUGAAGUCUUCCCGAACGGACUUGAUGAUGGUGUGCGGGCACCAAGCAAUGGCGCUCCGGCUUUCUCCUCGAACGGCAUGGCGAUGAGUGUGAGGAAAGUGGCAGGACCGUCGAAGAUGAUUGAGUAGACAUUGACGGUGACUAAAGAGACCGCGACGAGUGUGAAGGCGUCGCCGGCCAGUGGAGUCUCAGUGAGACGUCCUCACACAAUAGUGAUCACAACAGGGGCAUCUUUAGGGCUCGGCGUCGGUGCGAUGAUGCCGGCACAACGGCGGGCUUUGAUGGGGUGGCACUCGGUGGACAGUGCUACCAGCAGCUUGAUAGAACAGCGAGCGUCUGGGCGUCGCCGAUACGGUGGACGAGAUGAUCUCCUGGUUGACGAUGGCUCUGAUCCAUCAGGAUGGCAUGGGCGGCUCAGCGACUUGACGACGUCCGCGGAUGCGGGUAGUUCAGCGACAUUCCGGCAGUUCGAAUGAGACUUCUGUCGGGCACGGCUCAGUAGUAACCAUGCUUGCUCCGAUGACAUUCUGCGCGCUCCGGCGGGGUGGCAUGAUGUCGACCUCUUACAAAUUAGCAUGCCCGACGAGGUGGUUGAUGUAGACGGCAGCCGGCCAUUUAACCACAGCUCAGCAUCGAAUUGAAAAAGCUUGAAAUCAACAGGAUUUGUUUAGCCAUCGCAUUGACAACUUCUUAUGCAUGGCACUGAAGCAUGGUGAUGAUGUGUCACCCUCCGGUUGGUCGGCCACGUUGCCACACCAUGUAUUUGCUGAAUGGAGUUGACUCGGCAUGCUGCUGCUUUGCUUCGGCUUGUGUUGCUGCCAUGCGAUGUGUGUACAUGAGGCCGCCGAUCGCCGAUCUGAUCUGUAGCCCGACGAUAUUUGUUGAUGUAGAUCGAUAACCACCAUCAUCUGCACGCGGCGCCGCUGCCAUCGUGAGGAAGAUAGUAUCGCCGUCGUGAGAACAGUAGCAGCGCCGAACAUCGGCCGCGUCGGGGGAAAGGGCUGCGGCCAUGAUUUGAUACGCUGUGCGUGGUGGAAGCAGGAGUCUUGGCAGUCGACGGUGGCUCCGGGCCUCCGGCGAUCCUGGCGUGCCCCAGCAGAGCAGCGUCACGACGACUCCGACAUGGUCAGUCCGCCGCGGUGAAACUUGCAGCCGACAAAGCGAGGACGCCCGACAUCUCGGCAUCUCGGCGACGCCGCAGUUUCAGGUGGAUGCAUCACCGGCGACUCGAUUGGCGGUGUCGACUCCAGGGAUAACCAGCAUCUCGUCGACUCGGAUGAGCGGUGGGCGGUGGCGCCGAUACGAUUACUUCCCGGGGAGCACGUACAGAGGAUGCAACUACUACGGCAGCAACAGCACCCGCAUAUGUACAUCUCCUACGCAUGCAUGCAUGUUCUGCAACAAGAAAAGAAGGAACCAAUCUAAUUAGUUCUUUUGCCUUGAGCAGCCAUUGAUCUCUGCUUGCCGAUGAUCAGAGCGCCGCGUCUCCUGCCGGACGCCGGUGCUCCGGCCGAAGUCGCUCGCCGCCACCGUGGAUGGGUUGAUCGUCAAUGGAUAGAUGUGUGUUGAGUGUUUUCGGGAUGGAUGUGUUAUGUGUGUUGAGUGUUCUCGGGAUGGAAGUGUGUUGAUCUAUCGAUCUUGUUGAUGCCAGGAGUUGAUGGAUGGAUCCUCUCUUUUGCCGUGGUUCUACAUCUGUGCCCCCUCGACUCCAUGAUCAAUCUGUAAAAAAGAAAGAAAGAGAAGGCCUGGCGUGCUGGUGUAGAUGACCGUGCACUGCCUCUCUCCUCUGUCAUUCUGUCCAGCCGCCGGCCGGCGUGCUGUACCUUCUCAUCAGGAAGAGGGAUGGCUGGACGAAUGUCGAUCGCCUGGCGCCGUCUCUUGGGUGACCGCCUGUACCCUCGCCGAGCGUCGGAUGCGCCGGCCGGCAGCCACCGGCUUCUCUCGUGCCGUCGUGUUCUUCCUCCCUCCGUGUUCUGCCUUCGGCGCAGCCGCCGCCAAUGGAUGGAUUGAUGGGAGUUGAAUGACUGUCCAUGCAUAUAUGUGCUGAAAGCCUGAAAUAUACAUGUAGAGAGAGAAAGAGAUAAACAGAAGAACUGGACAAUGUUAGAUGAAAUCGUCCUGGACGGCGUGGCGUCGAUCUUGUCGCAGCCUUCGUCUCCGGGUAGAUUGAUCUUCCAGCAUCGAGCGGCGCCCCCGGCGGGCCACACUUUUGGUGUGCCAUGCUGCGCCGCCUUCGGCCGGCCGGCCGCGCACACGUUGGCGUGCCCUUCCGCCGAGGCCCUGUGUUUUCUCUUGCGUGUGUUCUUCAUAUAUGUGUAGAUGGAUCUCCUUCUUCUCUGUUGUAGUUCUCCAUCUCUGCCCCCCCCCCUUAUGGCUGACGAGCUGUGCCUUUUAUAGGCGGUAGCCGCGUACGCGAGACCCGGCGCCGCCAGCGUGUAUACGACUGCGUGAUCCGAUAUCUCCGCACAGUCGCGCGCGAUGGAUAUAUACUAUCCGGCAGUUUGUUUGGAUGGAUAGAGCUUGACCGUGCUUAUCUUCUGAUCUGUUUGUUGCUUCGAUCAACUUGUAGAUGAGGGCGGCUAUGCGCAUGCAUGUAUUAGCUAGACUGGGCUGCCAUUCUUGUUGGUUUGCCGGUCUGCUGGGCCAUCGACGGAGCUCUCGACCACACGCGUGCAUGUGUGAGACUUUAAUUAAUUUGUUGGCUUGCUCUCUAUAGCUCAGUGCGUGCACACACAUAUAUGCUUAUAUGUAUAGCCGAGCACACAUGCAUACGUAUUCAGGCUAUGUGAAUCAGUACGUCAUAGUACAUGCAUGCAUUUGCAUGGCCCAUGCACGAAUCAAUAUUUAAUGAACUGGCUUAGCACAUUGGCAUUGCUAGCUAAACUGGUUCCUGAAAAUGCCCAUCAAUAUGCAAUAUAUAUGUGGUUAUAUAUUUUGAAAGUAUGUACAAAAUCCGGUCAAACAGUCAUCAACCUGUUGACCAGUGCGAGCUCGAACUUAACAAUAACAAUACAUCAUACAUGCUAGUACUUGAUUGUUUUCGGUCCAAAUUUUCGAAUCGAAAUUUCCAGAAUUUCCGAAAUUUUGGGUCUUUCUAUGGGACGGACAGCGCAUGGCGGUGUGGUAGCCGGACUGCUGGAGCCGAGGUGGAGCGAUUGGCUACGGCAUUCUCCGCCAGGGAUAAAGCUAUGCUGCCAGAGGAGCAAGAGCGACGUGAUCCUGAUCGGCGUACCGUAGUUCCAGAUCCGUAAAAAGGGGAGUGGUCGGAUCUAGCUGGAGCCCGGGCGAUCACCAUCACCUCCCUCGAUCGCCCUUCCUCACCGGCGCUGGAGAGAGGGGGCGGGCAGCGGCCGGCCUCAAACCGCCAAAGAAGAAGCGACAAUGUGAACGUGGCCUCAGAACGACGCCUUGGGUCUCCCUGUUGGAGUGUAUAAAAGUGAAUUGCCCGUCUUUCCUUAUCAGCUUAGGUUUUAGGUGCAACUGGUUAGUGCAUGCAACUUAAUAUGGUAUCAGAACCAGAGGUUUUGAGUUCGAAUCCUGGCGGCCGUCGCGCCGCAUGAAACUACCACAUCGCCGUCGCCCCACCUCCUCCAAGUAGAGCUCCGCCCGUGGCCUGCGAGAACGGUGCCCCAUACCGUGCUCGACCUACAGGCUACAGAUCAAAUCCUCCGCGAAUCUUCGCCGGUGCAGCGCUCCACCCAUCACCUACCGCCUAGGCUCGUCGCCGGCACCUUAUUGCCGUCACCACUCACCAGGUCAUGUGACGUGGAACCGUGCCAUGGGACAUUGGGACCCGGUUGUUGGAUUUCUUACUAGCAGAACAGAAGUUUUUCGUGGAAUCCUUUUUCUUUUCUUUUCUUUUCUUUUUUGUAAAUCACUCAAAUCUUUCGUGGGAGUACUGGUUUUUCCACCUCUAUUCCGCACAUUGUGUCAUCGUUGUGCAUGCCUUUCUAGCUUUUGGGGUAAAAGGUGACUAACCUAUUUCUGUUUUUUUUUUUGUUGAUGAAAAGGCAAUUUGAUUUCUUUAAUUCCCUUUCAUUUAUACAACAGUACUGGAAAAUACUAACAGAGUUUACACGACUGGUUUGUUAUCAUCCAACACAAAUCUUCUCAAAAUGCAGAUAAUGAUAUAUCAGCAAGGCAAGAAGCUAAUUAACCCUCUGCUCAUACGCCUACGCCAUUGGGUUUACCUCUACAGAGCCACGGAGGUAGAUUAUGCCUUCCUUCUGUCCAUCCACAAUCUCCUGCGCUUCAAUAAAAAGGGAGACGAGAGUCUUCAACGGAGGUUUUGCGCCAUUGUUGCUAUCGGCUAAGCUCAGGACGCCAUCUACGCCGUACAUCUGAAUGGAAACUUCGGACAGAUAGCCCAUCAACUCCUUCAGGUUUUCCUCUUCUUUGGCGUAGCUGCUGCUCCUUAGUCUUAACAUCGAUAUGAACAUCAUAAAAAUUAGCUUCACAAUUCUCAGCCAGUGAGCCGUGAGUUCAUAGUUUGGCAAGAUGUAGAUGCAUACCAUCUCCUUUAGCUUCCCAAUGGGAGUAAAGGUAGCAUCUCCAGGGAAAACCACAUCAACCAGUUGGACCAAAUCUUGAUCUUGGCUUACAUCAAAUACUGUUGUAAUUAAAUAUAGGAAAGCCUCCAGCAAUUUGCUGUCUACACGGAGCCAAUUGUCUCCAUCUUGGACUUCAAUACUUACGCUACCGGGUGGUGAAAACAUAGCUUUAUCUGCUUUUGUUCCCGCCGUUUGGAUGUCUCCACACCCAAACAUUUCUCCAAGCACCUGAAAUAAUAAAUUUGUACAGAAGUUUAAUUUGACAGACUAUAUAGGUGCGUGGCUAGGAAUUGAGAUAAGAGUUCAGAUCACACUAUAUAUGUGCUCCCUUCGUUCCAAAAUAUAAGAACCUAGUAUCAGAUAUGAUAUUUUAUAGUACUACGAAUCUGCACAAACAACUUAUCUAGAUUAGUAGUAAUAGGAAAUAUCUAAUCCAGUCCUAGGUUCUUAUAUUUUGGGACGGAGAGAGUAUUACCAAUGGUUCACUAUUUGAUACAAGGAUUAAUUACCUUUGGCAUCACAUCCUUGAUGACUUUGUUCAAUUCACCGAGGUACUCGUCGUCAUAGGUGUAGUGGUUAUAUAGGUGAGCUAGGAUUUCCGCUGCACUUAUUCUGCUCUCGUUUUCUUUAGAGUGUAGAAGCAUGUCUUUGAGCACACCAACGACAUUGCCGUCUGCCUGGAGGAUGACCACGGCAAUGCUUUGGCUUUCGACGCAGAGCAUCGCCAAUGCUUGAGCAGCCGAUUUUCUGACAGACAUAUCCUUGUUAUCAUCGGUGAAGAUGCACAGCAUAUACUUGGCUAAUUCUUCUCUGCUUGCCACGCUCGUACUCAUAGAUAAAGAUUUAUCAAAGGCUAGCUGGCUGAGGAUCUUGAUGGCCAUGAUUUGCAGCAGUGGCUUGCAUUUGCUACACUUGGGAAUGCUGUCCAUGGUGGUGACAGCCUCCUUGUUGCCAGAGAUCUCACGGCGGAGCCUGACGCCGGUCACUCCGGGAGCAACGACGAGAAGUGCCACCAGUUGCAUCGACUCCUCUACAACCGAGUGCCACACCUCGUGGUCGAUGCGGUGGAGCAGGUCGGAGCUCAUGGGCGCCAUGAUCCUUGAGAGGAGACCUUCAGUGUCGCAGAUGACUCUACAAUUGUCACUGUGAGCAGCGAGGAUCCGGAGGAUUUUCAGGCCCCAGUGAAGCAUCUCCAUACACUGGUCAAGCUUCAGGGUGUCCUUGAACUGCUCCAGCUGUGGACCUGUGGUCGAUAGCUCGAGCAUGUCUGAUAUGCAUUCGAUGCCUCCUGGCAGCUUCUUGAGGUGGAUGUCGACAGCGAAGUAUUCGACUAUCCUCGCUGCACUCUUUGUCAUAUUGUUCUGAGUUGGGCUGCACCUGGUCGCAGCCUCUAGGAGCUUGACGAGUAUGUGGGAAGAAGACGCGGAUCCGGUGAGCAGCUGCCUCAUCAGCGCAUGGUGUCCCUGCAACUGGCUUUGCACGAGAGAGUCGAUAAUCCUCACGCCAUUGAUGAAAUUGUCAGUGUCGAUCGACGAAGAUUCUAUCAGUCCAAUGGCAUGUGUGACCAUGUUCCUUCCUCUGACGAACGACGGGUCCUUCAUGCAUCCAGCCAUGGUUUCGACCGCGUACUCACGAACAGGUGAUUUUGCCCCAUAAUUGAGAUUGUACUUGUCGGCCACUUUCCUCUCCAUCUUCCUUCCCGUUGUGAUGAAGGUCAUGCCGUAGAAGUAAAGCACGCCCUGGGCAAGAGCCAUCAGGUAGAGGACGCGCAACGCCGGCUUCUGCAGGUUGGCGCCGCCAUCGGCGGCGGCGUUGGCCAUGCCGAAGCCCAAGUCACGCCGUGUGAGGCGGAACAGCGAGAUCGCGGUGGAGAUGUACAUGCCCAACGUGUAGACAAACACCAGAGGGACAACAAUGGUGGUGAACACAAGGAGCCGAAACAACUGCAACGUAGCAUACGCUACGAUGGGCCCAUGGUCAAGUAUAUAGUGUUUCAACCACUCGGCCACAAUCUUGGCCGGAGUCUUGGCCGGAGUCUCGGCCGGAGUCUCUGCCGGAUCAGUCUCUAUCUUGCGAAGUGAAGAAUAUGCAAGAGUAUCUGCCGUAAUCUCGGCCUUUUGCUCGGUCGAAGUUGGAGGCGACUUGGGUGUGCUAAAUGCUGUAGCGAGUAAGCGGGUGACUCCAGAAAACCCCUCUAUAACUCCACCAGUAAUGGCACCGGAUGCCCUGUUGUUAAUUUAUAUUUGAUCUCAGCUCAUAAGUUUUCUCGAGAGAGGGUCAACGGAUAAACAUAAACUACAUUAGGCGAUUUUCAUAUGCAAUUUUGCACGAAAUUCAUUUUGCAUGUAGAAUAGGAUUCGAGUUGCAUCUCGACCCAGUGAUUAGCCUGUCCUCACCAGAUCUGAUGGCUGCGAAGAUUUCACUGUCACGCCAUUUCUCCAUGACAGGGAGGUGGCAUCAACUCCAUCUGUCCUAAAAUAAAUCCAAUAUUGGAUUUAUAUGUGUGACCACCUUCAUUUUUAGGAUUAGAUUUAUUUUAGAACAAAGGGAGUAGAGACGACAAGAGGGUAGAUCUGGUCACCAAGUCACAUCUUGCCGACAAAGACAGGUUGACGGUUGAAUUUUGAUUUGGCUGGACUUUUCACUUUUUGGUUCUUUUUGAAAACUUAUUUAAUUUGUAAAUAAAUCCCUAAAAAAGCUUAUUCUGGGAAUGGAUGCUUUUCGCCGAGUCAACAUCGUCAUUGUAUUGGUCCAAGAUAACAGAGCCAAUAGCAUUGAUAACGUCCCCCUAACCUCCUCGUGAAAGGUAGGUGGUCACUUAUAUGAAGGGGGCUAAUUAAGUAAGGGGGGCGACGCCAUUGUUUUUGGCGCCGAUGACAUAUUUGUACAUAUUUUUUUAUUAUAAAUAGGUCCCUUUUUAAUUAUAAAUAGGUCAUUUUUCAAAUUGUUUUACAAGUAGGUCCUCGACGUCAAUAACAUUGACAUUGUCCCUUUUCUACAAGUGACUUAGCUUUCGCGGCAAGCCUAUAGAGAUGACGUCAAUGUCAUUGGCACCGUCAUGUUGUUAGACUAAGGUGCUGAAACGUUGACGUUGCAAAAGGAUUCAUUUCCGAAAUAAGUUUUUAGGGUCUAUUUGUAAAAUAAAUUUUUAAAAUCUAUUAUAUUAUUAAAGGAAUAGAAAAAGGAGCCUCCACGUUCGCUCUCAUGGCCUAGAAAUUCUCACAUUAAUCGGAGAAAAAGAAAAAGCAGAGUCCAUAUAGAAAUACAAUUUAGAAAUAGCUGAAAUUCGGAAUUAAAAAAUAAGAAAUAUUAGAAGAGGAGACUAUAGUCCAUAUAGAAAUACCUAUAGGAAAUAACUGAAAUUCGGAAUUAAAAAUAAGGAAUAUUAGAAGUAGAGUAUAGAGUCCAUAUAGAAAUACAAUUAGGAAAUAAUAGAAAUUCGGAAUUAAAAAAUAAGGAAUAUUAGAAGUAGAGUAUAUAGUCCAUAUAGAAAUACAAUUAAGAAAAAAAUAGAAAUUCAGAAUUAAAAAUAAGGAAUAUUAGAAGUAGAGUAUAGAGCCUAUAUAGAAAUACAAUUAAGAAAAAUUAGAAAUUCGGAAAUAAAAAAUAAGGAAUAUUAGAAGUAGAGUAUAGAGUCCAUAUAGGAAUUUAAAACUAAAAUUCAGAAUAAACAUAAUGAAAUUAAAAGUAGUGUUUAGAGUCCGUACAAAAAUACAAUUUACAAAUAACUAAAAUUCAAAAUUAAGAAAAAUAUGGGAAGAAGAGUUUAAAGUCAAUAUAGGAAUAAAAUUUAGUAGUAACUGAAAUUUGAAAUUAAAAAUUAAAGAAUAUUGAAAGAUGAGUUUAGAGUCCACAUAGAAAUACAAUUAGAAAUAUUAAAAAUUCAGAAUUAAAAAAAUAUAUUAAAAGACGAGUCUAGAGUCCAUAUAGGAAUAUAUAUAAUUUACAAAUAACUAUAAUUUGAUAUUAAAAAUAAUUAAUAACUAACACGUAUAUAAAAUACAAUAUGAAUAUUACACAUUAGUAGUUUCGUAAAGUUAUUGCAAAAUUUAAAAUUAUGUUGUCAUUUUGAUAUAUUUGAAUAAUACAAUUCCCACGUUCACUAUCACCAUCUAAAAAUUCCCACGUUAACUGAUAAAAAGAAAAAAAAGUCCACGUAGAUAUACAAUUUAUAUCUAAAAUUCAGAAUAGAAAAUAAAAAAGAGUUCAUGUAAAAAUACAUUUUAGAAAGAACUACAAUUUGUAUAAAAAUUUAAAAAUAAUUAAUAUUGAGAGAAGAGUUCAUGUAGAAAUACAAUUCUGAAAUAUCUAAACUUCGGAUUAAAAUUAAAUGGUAUUAAGAGAAAGAGUCCACAUAAAAAUAUAAUUUAGGAACAUGUAAAAUUCGCAUUAAAAAAUAAAUAUCUGAUAAGCAAAGAUUCAUGAAGGAGUUCAGUUUGGAAAUAUUUUAAAUUAGGAUGAAAAAUAAAUAAUAUUAUGAGAAAAAAAGUGUAGUUUCUAAGAAAUGCCAUUACAAAUAUCUUCAACACAGGGUAAAGUGAAAUAUUAUUAAGUAAAUAUUUGGUGUAAAAAUACAAUUUAAAAUAUAUGAAAUUCAGAUUAAGAUGUGAAAGUAUGUACGCUAUUAUGUGAGAAAAAUAUUAUAAUGAUGAUAUCCUUGUAAUCUGUUGGGGACAAAGGAAGUAAGUAAACAUAUUGUAGAGGCCGGCGGCCACCAAGCUAAUAAGCAAGUAAACAACAAAAAUAUUCAUAAGAGGUACAGGGGGACUAACUCUUUUGUCUGGCAGAGGGUAAUCAUCGUGAGACACCAAAAGUCCUUCUUGUCGAGCAGGGAGACGAAGCCACCAAGCAGGACAACGGUAGACCAGGUGAAAAUCAGGACGCCGAGCCCAGCCACGACCCUCGACAAGUAUUCUUUGAACACAGCAUGGCUGUUGAUAUACCGCACUUCAGGCCAUUCUUCGGAAUUUUGAUUUACUUCACCGGCCAUUCUUGCCCUGAACAUAAAGCUCCAAAACCUAACACAUAAUAGCAACCUCUAGCUAGCUAGCCAGGCCCUUAAGUAACAUCCUAACGCUGCUUCAGGGUAUAACUGACGACAUAUGAUUGUUUACACCAAGAACUAACCAUAUUAGAUCUUGACCAAAUUACACCAAUUAAUCUAUCCUAGGUCGCUAUUAAAUAGACUUAGCCAGGCCUUUUAGUCAUGUGUAUUAAGGUGGUCGAUUUAGAUCGCCACUUGAAAUCGUCGUCGUUUGUACUAAUGGAGCAUGCAUCUUUCAGACUACUUGAAUUUUUCUUGACGAUCGAGUUGACAAGGCUUUGUUAACAUCUCUGUACGUGAAUCAUGUGUUGGACUCUCUGGCAUGCAUGGUAUAGUAUGCCCAUAUGCUCUGACAAAAUGCAUGUGCUGCUUCUGUAAGCUACUUCCUCUAUCCCAAAAUGUAAGCAUUUUUGAGGUUAGCACGGGUAUUAAGAAAGUAGGUGAGAAUAAUUGAAGAAGGUGUGUGAUUGGUUGAAAAGAGAAAGUAGGUGAAAAAGAAUGGUUGUGAUUGGUUGAGAGGAGAAGGUAGGUAAAAAAAUAGCUUUAUUUUGGGAUAAAGUAUUGUGCUAGAAAUAGCUAUAUUUUAGGACGGAGGUAGUAAGCUAUAGGUUAAUUGAUUUGGAAUAAACUUGUUUAUGUUCAUGUGGAGGCGAGAGGCCUGAGCCCUGCCAAUUUAAAAAUGUACGAUGAUGUUGCUCAAAGGGCACGUGUGGGACGAUAAACGGCGAACAUCGCUGCCUCUGGCACUGUCGAUCAGUUGGAGAAGAGGAAGAACCAUUUGUUGUCGAAGAUGAAUCACAAGGAAACACAUACUAAUCUAGAAUGAAAACAUGCUAUAGAGCAGGUACAAUAGCAGGCUAUAAGCCAGCUGCAAACAUAUUUUAAGAAGAUAAAUUAGGAGAGAGAAGAGCAGUGGGCUACAGAUUUGUAGCCAGCUGUAGCACGGACUCCAAGACGCAGUGUGUCUAUGACAGGUGGGACUAGAUAUUAAUAGUGUAGUAUGUAACUAUUGUAUGAAUGAACUACUAGAUUGGCUAUGGAUGAAUUGGAGCUAGUAGUUGGCUAUACUAUUGAACUUGCUCUAAGGGGUGGUCUAAAAUUUGUAAAAGUAUAUAGCCCAACAUACAGUUUACUUUAAAAAAAUCUUCUCGAAACGGGAAAUAAUCUCGCAUGCAUGAUAAUUCCAUUCCAAUAAUUAUCUCCAAUGUCCUACAACAAAUAGCCAUAAAAUUGUUUUUAUGAUACUCGCUCCGUUUUAUAAUGUAAGACUUUCCAGCAUUGCCCAUAUUCAUAUAGACAUCUAUAUGAAUAUGGGCAAUGCUGAAAAGUCUUAUAUUAUGAAAUGGAGGAAGUAUCUUUCCGCAUGUACGAACUCUUAGUGUCCUCUAGAAAAAAAAUGCCUUGUACUAUUUCUUAAUAGAGCUCUACCAGGAUGUUCUAGAACGCCUUAAAAAGAAAGCUAGCUAAAAAUUGCACAGCGUUGCUCAAGUCGCACCCAUGUUAUAAUAUAGACAAUAUUGUUGCUGAUCAACGUUUCUUCAAUACGCCAGAGGAGCAUCACGUGUGAGUAAUGUACAAAUGUAAACGUGAGUUCAAUGUAAGUGAGAAUGUGAGAAUAACAUACAAAACCACGCCAACGAAAUCUGAAAGUAAACCGUACCAUGUUGUUGAUACAUGAGUGCAGGGGCGGAUCCAACGUGGGUGCAGGGGGACUCAAGUGCCCCCUACACCCACAAAACCCAUGGAUACCCCCCUAAGCCCCCCCUUCAAUUUUUUCAUCAUAGUUGAUAAGAUAGGAGAUGCUAAAGGUCUCAUAAUAGCAUUUUAGUAUAGUUUAAUACUGAGAUUAUGUGUUUAUAUCGGUGUAUUCGGUAUGUUGAGUCCCCCCAACUUUUUAUUUCUGGAUCCGCCCCUGCAUGAGUGAUGAUAAACUAAGAGCGCAUGUGAGCACUGACCAACCUAACUGUAACGGCUCAAGGUAACAUGUGACAUUUCUUCCAAACAAUUAUCGCAUCCAAACUUCCAACACAUAUACAAGAGGGAACGAAUAUGUUGCCAUGCUCCUGGUGGUCAUCCACCCCUUACAGACCGAUCCAUUGCCAGCUCCACCAUCAUCAACAUCAAUAAUUGUUGUCUCACCGUGUUUCAUCCAACAUGUAUAGUUCUUCAAAAAACCUCUUCUUAUCAGAUGAGCAUGUGUUUCACACUAACUGAUUUAUAUAUCCCUGUAACAGCUAUAGGUUUCAAGCCGUUACAUACUGGGCCUUAAAUGAUGGCUCAAGAGUGUUUUGCCUAUCUGUAACGGCCGUCUAUGCCACCCAUUAUAGAUGCGGGAGUCUGUAACGAUUCUGUUUGGUCCGUCACAGAUAAGAGUAUUUGUGUGCUAGUGGCAAGUGCAAUUUGAGCAACCUCGUGUAUUUGUAUAGUAUAUUUGCAGCAAUGGCAACGGCAGCAGCGGCGGCGUGUUUUCCAGUGAACCUCCAAAACAGAGCACUUCUUCCAGUUUUCCACGAAUUAUCAAGAUUUGUCCUAAUAAUGGCAAAGUGAUGGUUCUAUACAAAUCAUUUUAUAGAAAAUUUGUCUCAGUGCACCUGAACUUGUUUCAAGGUUGACUAAUUUGUUUUAGGGGUGCAAGCGGGCUAACCCGCGAGUUUACUUAUAGGUCAAAUAAAUAAUAAUUCAUGGGUUUUCGUGUCGUGGCGCGGCUUGCAACAUCUAAAUAUACAAGUGGAUCGAUUCAUAAAUCCAUUUAUAAGUUAAAUUAAUAGUUAACCCGCAAGUCAAACCUACGGGUUACGCAUUACUUUUGCCUAUAAGAGGAUUCGCGGACAAACCCACUUGCACCGUUAAUUUGUUUUCCAGUAGCAAGCGAUGGCUUGCACUGCUAAUCCCAGAGCUAAAACAUGGACGAUCAUGCACUCCCUUCGAGCCAGCAGCACCUGCAACCUUCAGAGGGCUCAGAUGCCAUUCAUCAAAUAACGGUAAGAAACGCAUUGUUGCUCUUCCAAUUUUGUUUCACCAAUUCUUUCCUGCAAAAUGAAACAGAUGAAAGAAAUGGCUAUUGUUUGCUCCAUCACGAGAGAUAAAAAGGGAAGCAGAAGCAGAUCAUAGAGGCAGGUUUUCACCACCAGGAACAGUCGUCGUUGAAGUCCAAGACGAUGGCAAUCGCUGGAGCACCUCCAACUACAUCUCAUCAGCCAAAGAGUGGGCAGUAUAUGGACAUGGAUCUACUGGCAGCUUUGUUUUCCCUUACUGCAACGAUAUUUGAGGUCAGUCAAGUUCAAGAUUUGGUCCAACUGGUUGAUGCUAUUGCCCCUGUAGAUGCUGCCUUUACCUUUGCUGGGAAGCUCAUUGAGAUGGUAAAAAGGAAGAUCAUAGAAAGAAUCGAUUUUCUUGUGGAUGAAUGGUCGAGAAUUUUGAAGCCUACCACUAAGAUGGUCAUAUCAAUGGUGAGACAUAGGAGCAUCAGCUUCGUAAAAGAAGAUGAUGAAGACCUGGAGAGCUUGAUAGAUUAUCUUAUCUGCAUAGUUAUUCCACUGGCAUGAACAAAAUAGAGGGUGUCAUGAGCUACCAUGGAGCAAAGCAACCGUUCAAGACUCGUGCUUCCCUUGUUAAAGAAGCCCAGGAACUUUGGGACAAAAAGAAGGAAGAUGCUAGCUCUGUCGAACGAAACCAGAUCACCUAAUCUGUAUGUGAGUAUAUGACACGAUUUGAAAAAUUAUAACACACAUUCGAUCUGAGAAUUUUGCCAGAGCAGGGUGGAUGACCGAAACCAGUAGAUCACUCUGUUUUUGUGCCAUUUUGCCUGAUGUUAGAUGUAUCAUAUCUCUGGAGUUAAAUUUAUGUUUGAUGAAAAUAAAUCAGUUAGUGUGAAUUCUAUAUGUAUAUCAAACUUUUUUCUCUUCUAUUGUGAGCAUGGAAGCAGGAGGCGCAAUGCCAAAUAGUGAGCUAAUACUUAACAAGCAUUUUACUUUACCUAAUACCCUCAUGCAUUGUCACGCCCCGAACUAGUCCCGACCGGAACUAGCCCGUGACGCUCCAAAUUAACCUGUUAAUCGAUACCAGUCACAGGAAACAGUGCUGGUAUCACAGGAAGACAGAAUAUCACAGCAACAGAUGUCUCUUUAUCAUAGAGUAGGAGUACAGUCAUGUUGGGCUGCAGACAGAUCCCGAGCUCAUAACUGCAUUACAAAAGGGAAACGGAAGCCAAGACUUGGACCAAACAUCACAGGCGCGACUUGGGAACUAGGCCGAAACCCUAAAACUCAUCGUAGCCGGCUUGCUCCUGGAAGAACUCCUCGUCAGCGGGAUCCGCUUCAUCUUCUUCAGCAACUGGGGGGGGGAUUAUUUAUAUAGAGCAAGGGUGAGUACGGGAGUACUCAGCAAGCCAUGGGAAAUAAGUGUUUAAUGCAGGCUUCAAGGAAAGGCUAUUGUUUUUGCGAUUGAUUUUAUUUAAACUCUUUUCAGAAACAACUAAGGGAGUGCUUCUCAAACGACACGGAUGAGACAGUGCGUCUCGUCCGGUCGGAGUAUGUGCAAUGUAUCAGUCUUUUGAAUCGAUCAAGGUUGGCACCCGGCCAACAGCUUUCAAACGGCCGCCCGGGCCUGGCUGAUCCCAUCAGCCGCAGAUUUUCCAAACAUCAAACCCAUUCCACAACAGCAAAUUUCACAAGGCAGUAGUCAAACAAAACUAUGCUAGGAAUCACCUCACAUCCGCCCAUGACCGUGGGCACGGCUGUUCGAACAGUUUUAAUAACCUCUGCAGAGGGGGUACACUUUACCCACACGACAUUACUAACCCGGAUCAUCCAGCCCGUACAGAACGGCCACGACUAGAGACCUUAAGGCUUUCAUGACAAGGCAUUUCGAAAGACGACACAGGUUCACCAUAUGCCAACGAGAGGGGUCCCAAACCAACACCAGAUAGGUCCCAGACCUUACUGUGCCAGGAAGCCCAGGGGUCCUCCCCGACACCACCCCGGCGAAUCCAUAUGUCUCUUAGCAUCAUGGCUCCCCCGAUAAGCUAGUUACUCAGCCAGGGGUGUCCCAUUCCACCCAUGUGGUCGUACUUGUCUUAUGUUCGGAUGAAAUUCCAAGGAAACGGUCCUUAUGUGCAAGAGCGGGAAACCGUACACCCGGUACGUUCCCCGGUCCGCGGUUUUGGAAAUUCAUUUAGUUCGCAAGCACCGACCCAGGUGUCGGGUUUUCCAAGUCUUUUGUAAAACCCAAGUUUUACCAAAGAUGUUUCUCAGAUUUUAAGUUUGAAGGCGACUGUCGAUACCCGUGCAGAGUGCACGAUUACCGAGGCACAACUAGGUGGGUACAAGGGAACAUGGUAUAACAAUUACAAUGGAAGGGUCAAAUGCAACAAAUUAGGUAGGUCCGCCAAUCUGCCUUGCAGACGGGACAAGCAGAUUAAGUGCGAUCCUAUCAAUGCAUAAUAUUUUUCAAGCAACAUAAGUAAGUUCAAAUAUAGGCUCAAGAUGUUCAAAGGUGGCUUGCCUCGCUCGAGAUCUUGAGCUUGAUCCUCGAAAUCCUCGCACUGCGGGUCUUCGGGCUCCGAAACUACACGCGAAACGGGACAACUCAGCAAACGGCGAAAAUAAAGCCCUAUUAUUGACCUCUAAGCGUGCCAUUAGAUAGAUCUCGAGAUUUGAGGAAUUUUGGAAGUUGAACGGAGUCAAACGGACUUACGGUUGGGAAGAUAUUGAAUUUCUAAGAUUAUUGGAUUUUUGGUCUAAAGGAAAAGGAUUUAUUUAAAUCCUUUUUGAAAAAGAAAAGAAAAGAAAAGAAAGAGGGAGGGAAAUUAGACUUCCCUCGGACGGCUAGGGCGCGGCCCGAGAGAAUGGGGCAGCUCGGCCGAGCUUAAUGGGCCAACCGGCCCAAGAGGGCGGCCCAAAGCGCGCGCGGGCGGGGAAGGGAGAGAGAGAGCCGGUGGGCCGGGUCCAUCCCGCGUGGUCCCGGGUGGGACCCGCUUGUCGGCGACUCGGCUCACCGUGAGCGAGGUGCAUGCGGGGCGUGCUAGGGUUUGGGGAGGGAGGCGCGGCGCAUACGCGCGGUUCGCGGAGGACGCGGUGCGGCGGGCCCACGCGCAGCCUCUCGGCUCGCGGUGGACCGCGCACGUGAGGGGGCGGAGGGAAGCGGCGGACCGGGGUCUGCUUGACCCGGUCGCGGCCGAGGUGGCGCCGACAUGGCGCUUACGUGGCUGCCACGCGGGUCGGCGGGAGUUAGACGACGACGCCGGCCGGAACGGACGGCGGACGACAGCGGCGAGCGGCGGAGCGAACCAUGGCGAUACAGGCGAAGGCGAGCACACCGGGAUGUUGCACAGGACGAGGGGAGACGAGCCAACGGCUCGGAUUUGCCGGAGGGAGCUCGACGGCGGCGGAUUGCGGCGGCGGCAACCGACGGCGGGAGAAGGGGGAAACGGCGAUGAGGUCACAAGGGGCCGAUUCCCGGCGGUGAGAGCAUCUACGCGGCUACGGGAAUCCGUUGCUAGCGUCGGAUUGGGCGGACUACGCCGAGCGAGGCCGGCGACGAGCGGGCGCUACGGAGCACGGGCAGCGACGGCGGCGAGCACACAGCGAGCGGCGGCAACGGUCGAGGCGGCGCCAGCUAGCUACGGGAAGGCUACACAUGCUACUACCGAAAACUAAGGGGAGGAGAUGGAUCGAGGAGGGAGAACGGGGGAAUGCACUACCGAGAUGAGGCGGGGCGCUAUGACGAGAGGCCGACGGCACGGGAGUGAUCUCUUCGGCCUCGGGCCGGGGAAGAGGAAGAAGGCGAGCGCCCGGAGUCCCCUUCCGCGUCCUAACGCGCACUGGGCUCCUCCGGCACACGCGACGGCGGCGGCUGGCGAGAGAGACAGCAAUGGCGCGGGCGAGAAACGGGAAAGAUUGGGAGGGGAAAGAGGAAGGGAGGCGCUUGGGUUUAUAGGGCGGCGAUGUCGGUUUGGAAACCGACCUUGGGCGGUCAAGGGAGCGAGCUGGCGCUCGGCGCUCGCGGCCAAAACGGCGACAGGAGGGGGGGGAGGAUGACGCCGGCGGGAGGGGAAAAGGGAAAAAGGGGGGAGAGAAAGAGGGCUUGCCUCCUUGCCGCUUUGGGGAAAAGGAGGAGGGAGAGAGGGCGACGCGGCAGAAGGGGGAGCUCUGCCUCCGUCCCUUGGAGGCACGCGCGGGGAGAGGCGGGGCCGAGUCGAUGACGACGGCGAUGACGGCGGCCCCCUUUGGAGUGGAGCGGCGACACGGGCGGCAGACACGGGGCAGGCGCGGCAGGCACUGACGGCGGCGGCGAACUGGCCGGUCGGCCACCACGGGCGCGCGCGCGCGCGGGCGGCGCGGCGAUUUGGGCGGCAUCGGCGGGAACGGCAGCGAGAGUGGAGAGGGAGGAGGGCUCGGCGCGGCUCACGGGCAGAGCGGGGAGAGAGAGAGAGAGAGAGAGAGAGAGAGCCGGGGAGGGCGGGCCAGAUGGGCCGAGAAGGAUUCGGCCCAUCGAGCCCGAGGGAGGCGAAUCAGACUUUUGCGGAGGGAUUGAUUUUAGAAGGAUUUGGAUUCGGGAUUGAACUUGACGAUAGAUCGGGGAUUUGAGAUCUGAGAUGGUAUGGACACUAGACGACAAGCAAAGAAACGGAUUUCGCAAAUAAGGUUUUUAAGAGAUAGUUUUCCCGCUAGGCGCCACGACGGAACGGGCGCUACAUGCAUCCAUGUGAAGAUCCCUCAAGCGCACGAGACCAUUGUAGUGUUUUACUACAGAGUGUUCCAAGGUAUCGUGUCUAUGAUGACAAUAGCCCUGCACCAAACACACAUAGGUAACUCCAACAAAGAAAAUACACACAUAGGUAUCUCCAACAAGGAAAAUAUUCUAGUGAUUGUAAUUCAUAAGGAAUAAGGAUAAAUUGAUCAUAUAGCUUCACGAUUCUAGUUUAUAGCAUUGAAAGAUAUCGAUUCAUUGAAAUAGCGAACAUUUGCUCCUCACUGUUUUUACCAUCACAUAUACUCCCUCCGUUUCAAAAUAUUUGACACCGUUGACUUUUUAGCACAUGUUUGACGUCUUAUUCAAAAAAAAUUGUGAAAUAUGUAAAAUAUAUGUACAUGAAAUUAUAUUUAACAAUGAAUCAAAUGAUAUAAAAAUAAUAAAUAAUUACUUAAAUUUUUUGAACUAGUUGGGUGACCCGCGCAAUUGCGCGGCUAGCACCCAAACAAAAUUAUAUAUUUUUUAGUAUGAUUUUACUUAAAAUUUAUUAAAUAGAUAUCUCAUUGUCUUAAGACUUUAAAAGACCAAACCUUAUCAUCCUCGUGUUUCUAAUUAUAUACUUUUUAAAAGUCACACCAGUUACCACCUCUUAUGUCAUUUCCUUCUUUAUUUGCUUGCUCGAUCUACAACUAUUUCUAUUCAUUCUUCUUGGAACCUUUAAAAAUUGGAUUUUAUAGUUUUUAGAGUUUAUUGUCACGUUGGGUUUCGUUUUUAUAAUUUAUAGAUAUCCCGUCAAACGUUGCCAUUAUACUCCUCUACGGCCCGUCUACUGUUUCUUCUCUUUAUUGUCAUUAAGAUUUUAAAAAUCGAACAUAAUUAUCGUUUGGAUUCAUUUUUACUUUCUAGAAGUCUCGCCAAACCAUCAGCGGCUUUGCCAUUGUACUCCUCUACGACUCACCCGCUGCCUUCCUUCUUUAUUGUCAUUGAGAUUUUAAAAUCGAACAUGAUUAUUAUUGGGUUUUUUUUUACUUUUUGGAAGUUCCAAACCUUUAAAAAUUGGACUUGUAGUUUUAUUUUUUAUAAUUUUUAGAAGUUCCAUCAAACGAUGCCACUAUGCCCCUCUACAGCACGUCCGUCGCCUACUCUUUAUUGUCAUUGUGAUUCUGAAAAUCGAACAUAACUAUCAUUGGAAUUCAUUUUUUUAUUUUCUAGAAGUCCCGUCAACCGUCGACGGGCUGUGCAACUAUACUCUUAUACACCCCGCCCAUUGCUUCUCCUUUUUAUUGUCAUUAAGAUUUUAAAAAUCGAAUAUGAUUAUCAGUGGGUUUAUUUUUUUUACUUUCUAGAAGUCCCAACAACUGCCUUACUUGUUUGCUUCACGACCUACCUGACGUCCCUCCUUUUAAUCGUCAUCAGGAUUCUAUUUGGUGUUUUAUUAAUAAUUUUUAUAUGUCGUAUCAACCGCCACCACUCUACUCCUUUAUAGGCCUGUUACUUAAUUUAUCUCGUCAUGUGUUUUAGAUGGUCUUUUCUUUUAAUAGUCUUUAUUUUUAUCACAAAUUUUAGUUAUUUAUAAAUUGUAUUCCUAAUUGAAAUCUUAUUUUAUUCUAAUUUCAUAAUUUAUUUUUUAAAAAAAUAGUUAAUAUUGUAUUAUGUUCUUUUAAUGUUUUUAUUUUUUAUUUGAAAUUUUAAUUAAUCUCGUAUUGGGUUCUUAUAUGGAUUCUUCUUUCAAUAUUGCUUAUUUUUAAUUCCAAGUUUCAGCUAAUUUUAAAUUGUAUUCCUACUUGAACUCUUAUUUUAUUUUUGUUUGCUAAUUUUGGAUUUAUUUUUAUUUUUAUUCUGAAUUUUAAUUAAUCUUGUAUUGGGUUCUUAUAUGGACUCUUCUUGUAAUACUCUUUAUUUUUAAUUCCGAAUUUCAGCUAUUUUUAGAUUGUUUUACUACUUGACUCUCAUUUCCUUUUCUAAUUUUGGAUUUUAUUUUAUUUUUAUUUCUAAUUUUUAUUAAUCUCGUAUUGGGUUCUUAUAUGGAAACUUGUUUCAAUAUUGCUUAUUUUUAAUUUCGAAUUUCAGCUAUUUUCAGAUUGCAUUUCUACUUGGACUCUCCUUUCCUUUUCUAAUUUUGGAUUUUAUUUUAUUUUUAUUUCGGAUUUUGAUUAAUCUCGUACUGGGUUUUUAUAUGGAAACUUUUUUCAAUAUUGCUUAUUUUUAAUUCCGAAUUUCAGCUAUUUUUGAUUGUAUUCCUACUUGGACUCUUCUUUCCUUUUCUAAUUUUGGAUUUUAUUUUAUUUCUAUUUCGAAUUUCGAUUAAUCUCGUAUUAGGUUCUUAUAUGGAAACUUCAAUAUUGCUUAUUUUUAAUUCCGAAUUUUAGCCAUUUUUGGAUUGUAUUCCUACUUGGACUCUUCUUUUCUUUUUUUUCUUUUUCUCCGAUUAAUGUGAGAAUUUCUAGUCUCCACAGUGAACGUGAUGCCUCCUUUUUGAGCUGUCUUAAUAAUAUACUACCUCCUUCCCUAAAUGUUUGACGUCGUUGACUUUUUUAAAUAUGUUUGGCCGUUCGUCUUAUUCAAAAACUUAUGUGAAAUAUGUAAAACUAUAUGUAUACAUAAAAAUAUAUUUAACAAUAAAUCAAAUGAUAGGAAAAGAAUUAAUAAUUACUUAAAUUUUUUGAAUAAGACGAAUGGUCAAACAUAUUUAAAAAAGUCAACGGCGUCAAACAUUUUGUGAUGAAGGGAGUAAUAGAUAAGACGAAUGGUCAAACACGUAUAAAAAGUCAAUGGUGUCAAACAUUUUAAAACGAAGAGAGUAUUUAUAUAGUCACAUCUGGCCACCUCCUUUGCUCCGCUACUGCAGUCAUCACUCCAUGCUCGGUGCGUGUGGGAGGAGGCGACGGAGGGUCUGCGGCGAGGGCUAGGGAUGACGCCGGCCGACGGCGCAUCGUGGACUCGGGAAGAAGGACGAGGCCAGCCGCCACCGCGCGCGUCAAGCUGCUGGGGAGGAAGGUCGAGGCCGGCCGUCGCGUCGGGCUGCGGAGGAGGAGGAACACCGGCCGCCGCCGCGUCGAGCUGGAUGAGGGAGGAGGUCGUGGCCGCCGCAUCGGGUGGCUGGGAGCCCAGGAGGAGAGGAGGUCGAGGCCUGCGGGUGCGGGGGCACAUAGGGUAGCGGAUCGGACUGGGCCUUGGGCCUUUGAGACCGAUUGCCGAGAAGUCCGCGGCCCAAAGCCAGAGAGAAUGCUUUGUCAGCCUGGCCCACUAACGCUGUCACGUAAAGCAAGCUAGUAGUAGCAUGUUGCAUCAUCAUCCGUCUCGCUAAUCUAAUCGCUAUACUUCACUGCGAGAGCACACUUGUGUGAUCUGUCAGCCCUGUGCCCGCGAGCGCGAUUUGGUAUGCGGGAGCAGGAGACGGACGCCGAACUGCCGCAGUGAAGUUGGCGACCGUACGUCCGAUGCGCGCUUGCAUGUCAUCCAGGGCUAGGCAUGUCCGGCUGUCCGCAAAGAAAAUUGCUAUGCAUACCACCCAUCUAUUCCACUCACGUCAACAGUUGUUAACGGCUACAGUGCAUAUGAAUAUGCUUUUUUUCGAUUAAUCUAUGAUUCAUGUCUCUAGUUAUCUAAGUGUAUCUUAGAUAUAGCAGUACUCAUCCGCAAUCUAAAUGACGUACAGAUCGAUACAUCCCUCUCCGCUUUUGUCACUUCUUGUUUUCUCUUUCCUUUUUUUUCCAUUAUUUGUCAAUCAACAUUAGUAAAUUAAUCAUUCCUACCCCAAAUCUCUUAUAUGGUAAGUAUUAGAAAUAUUACGACAUAAACUUAAAAUGUACUCCUAAGUCCUACAAUUUACACUGUGCGGUCCUGAUGACACACAACAAAUGGGAAAUUAACGGUAUAUAGCCAUGGAUCAUGAGUCAUGACGCUCCCAAUCUUUGUGUAACGACUGAGCCCGUCAGUUAGAUGGACACUCAUGCCUCGUGCCACCGUGCGGCCUUCGUUGCCGCCAACUACACGACUUCCCAGUUCCCACGUUGCUUUGCAUUCGUUGUUCAAAACUCUAUGGCCUCUGUUGGCACUUCAUCUUUUUCUAAGUUGAGCUUAAUAAUUCCGGUUACUAAAUGCUAAUGUCAAUUUUACAGUCAAAAUUUGAUAAUUUCGGUAUGUGUUACAAUUUUAAUUUGGGACUGUCUAUAGAUCAUUUGACAGAAAACCCUUUUAUAAAUCUUGCAAAUUUUAGACCACCCGAUUGCUUCAAGAUUAGUCCAGACCACCAAAGCCUAAAAAUCAUCUCUCUUCUCCCGAUUCCUUCACGCCGCCGCGUUCCUCAGCGCUUCCCCCCGCCUCCGCCACCGCCGCUGCCGGCCCAGCGCGCCGCCGCCCGGCCUCGCCGGCUGGCUGAAAGGUGCCCCCGGCCGGCCCCCUCCCCCUCCCCUUCCCCCUCCCCUUCCCCCUCCCCCUCCCUCUCCUCUCCUUUGCCUCAAGCUAGCGGCAGCGAGCUGUCCGUCAUCUUCCCCGUCGCCAGCGGCGGGACACCACCAUCGCCCGCCUCCUCCUACCACUAUUUCCGCUUUGCCCCCAGCCCGCCGCCGUCCUCGAACCCCACGGCUUCGGCAGCGCCGCUGCCGCCUAGCCGCCCGCCCGAUCCGCCGCCCACCGCUGGGCUGUUGCCUCCCACGGCUAUCCCUCUAAAACCGGCGAACUCCCCCCUCUUCCGCCUCCCCCUCCCCCCUCCCACCCCCACCCCACCCCAGGACCCUAAUUCGUCAGCCCUCUACCGGGUUUGGGUUCGCCGGCGCCGGAGAAGAAGAGGUGGUCGCCGGAGUUUGAGAAGAAGAGUACGAAUCGCGAAGCACAUCAAGUGAUCCAAAAUUUGCAAGAUUUGAGGUUGGAUUUUUCUGUCAACAGAGCUUUAGCAAUUCCGUUUUAGUUUACUUUGACAAGGAGGUUGAUAGAGGAAACAUGAAACAUUUCUUUAUUGAGAUUUGAAAUAAAUCAACUAGAAAAAGAAAUUGUGUGGCAUCUGACCCAUAUGUGUACAACUUACAUCCCACUAGUGCAUGUACACUGGUGGAGAAACCAUCUUUCGUCGGUCCGGCCCGAUUUCCACAAUAGUCCCGGAUGCAAUAAAAACUGGGGCUAAAGAUGAUCUUUAGUCCCGGUGGGACUAAAGAUCAUCUUUAGUCCCGGUUCGAAUGCUGUCAGGACCUGUCAGGCCCCCCCGGGAUCUUUAGUCCCGGUUGGUAACACCAACCGGGACUAAAGAUCCCGGUGAUCUUUAGCCCCGGUUGGUGCUACCAACCGGGACUAAAGUCCCACCCCUAUAUAUAUGUCUUCUUCCUCCUCCAGCUGCCCGAGCAAGCUUCAAAAUUACUUCAAAAAAGAGGGGAGGUCAUGCCAAAAUUUCUAUUUAAUUUAUUUUGGUGAUUACAUACAAAUCGGAGGUGCCUAAAAGGUUUGCAACUUCAUCCUCCAAUGUUUUUUUUGUCAUACUACAUUUGCACCUAUGUUUUGCACACUUUUUUUUGUCUACAAAAUUUAGUUGUAAGUUGAUGAGAGAGAAAAUGUGUGUGGGGAAGAAAGAAUAUAUAGAAAUUUAGUUCAUUUGCUAAACAAUGUUUUAUAAAAUAGUUGAGAAGGAAAACUCUAGUGAAAGUUAAUCUUAAAUAAUAGAAAACAAACUAAAAUGAAAAUUAAAAGAAGUAAAACACAUUAAAAUUAGUUUAAAACUUUACAACUAGUUUUUAAGAAUUAUUUGGUGUAAUAUUUUAUGAUUUUUGUAUGAAUAAAGAUAUCUUAUAAUUAUUGUAUGACUGUCAUUAUUGUAAGAAUAAUUAUUUGUGUGCGGUUUUUUUUGACUCAUGUAGAUGGAUCGGCAAUGGAUGUACGCUGACCGGCGGUCCAAAGAGUUUAUUGACGGCGUGCACUAUUUUUUGAGAGUGGCCGAAGCUAACAGGCAAAGGGGUUUUAUUUGUUGUCCAUGCAAUAAGUGUAAGAAUCAGAAGGAGUAUUCUGCAUCCAGGACUAUUCAUUUCCACUUGUUUGAGUCGGGGUUCAUGCCAAGCUAUAAUUGUUGGACAUCCCACGGAGAGCAAGGUGUUGAAAUGGAAGAAGAUGAAGUGGAAGACGACAAUAUUCCGGACUUUGCUCAGUAUGUUGGAUUUGAAGGAAAUCAAACGGGCGAGGAGGAAAUAGCUGCUAAUGGUAACGACGUUGCGGAUGAUCUUGGUCAGAUGUUGCAGGACGCCAGUGAGGACUGCGAAAGUGAAAAGGAGGCCCAUAAAUUGGACAAGAUGUUGGAGGACCACAGAACUUCGUUGUACCCAGGUUGCGAGCAGGGGCACAAAAAGUUGGAUACCACUCUGGAGUUGUUGCAAUGGAAGGCAAAAAAUGGGGUUAGUGACAAGGCAUUUGGCGAUUUAUUGAAACUCGUCAAGAACAUUCUUCCGGGGGGAAACAAAUUGCCCGAGACAACGUACGAGGCUAAGAAGAUAGUCUGCCCGUUAGGACUGGAAGUUCAUAAGAUUCACGCAUGUCCGAACGAUUGUAUCCUAUAUCGCGGUGAGGAGUAUGAGAACCUAGAAGCAUGCCCUGUUUGCAAAGCACUACGAUACAAGAUUAGACGGGACGAUCCAGGAGAAGUUGACGGGCAGCUAACAAAGAAGAGAAUUCCUGCUAAGGUAAUGUGGUAUUUCCCUAUAAUACCACGGCUAAGGCGUUUGUUCAGGAACAAGGGGAAUGCUAGAAUGUUGCGAUGGCACGCUGAAGAGCGUCAACAAGACGGGAUGCUGAGACACCCCGCCGAUGGUUCGCAGUGGCGAAACAUCGACAGAAAAUUUAAAGAAUUUGGAAAGGACGCACGAAACAUACGGUUUGGUUUGAGUACGGAUGGCAUGAAUCCUUUUGGAGAGAUGAGCAGCGGCCAUAGCACUUGGCCCGUUACGAUGUGUAUCUACAACCUCCCCCCCUGGCUAUGCAUGAAGAGGAAGUACAUAAUGAUGCCGAUUAUUAUUCAAGGCCCCAAGCAACCUGGUAACGACAUCGACGUGUACCUAAGACCACUGGUCGAAGAUCUUAAACAGUUGUGGAAGAAGGAAGGUGUCCCCGUGUGGGACGAGGACAAACAGGAGGAGUUUAACCUACGAGCGCUGCUGUUCGUAACCAUCAACGAUUGGCCUGCACUUAGCAACCUAUCCGGACAGUCCAACAAGGGGUACAAGGCUUGCACUCACUGUAUGGAUGAAACAGAAAGUACGUAUCUUAAGCACUGUAGGAAGGUUGUAUACAUGGGUCAUCGUCGAUUCCUUGCAGCAAACCACCCGGUACGGAAGAAAGGCAAGCACUUCGAACAUAAGGCCGACCACCGUACGAAGCCUAAACAUCGCAGCGGGAAAACAGUGUUUGCUAUGGUUAAAGAUCUUAAAGUAGUGUUCGGAAAGGGGCCUGGAAGCCAGCAUAUAGAGAGCGAAGAUGGUCACGCGGUGAUGUGGAAAAAGAACUCUAUAUUUUGGGAGUUACCAUAUUGGGAAUUCUUGGACGUACGCCACGCAAUCGACGUGAUGCACCUCACUAAGAAACUUUGCGUAAACCUUCUUGGCUUCCUAGGUGUAUACAGAAAGUCGAAAGAUACACUGGAAGCACGUAAUGAUCUGAAGCAUAUGGAACAACGCGGCGACCUUCACCCGGAACCAAAGGAGAAAGGAAGCCAUUACUUGAGUCCAGCCAGCUACACUCUUAGCAAGGCAGAGAAGGAAAGUAUGUUUGAAUGCUUGGAGAGCAUAAAGGUACCGUCUGGAUACUCCACGAAUAUCAAGCGAAUAAUAAGCACGAAGGAGAAGAAGUUCACAAACCUAAAGUCUCAUGACUGUCACGUGUUGAUGACACAACUGCUACCAGUUGUAAUAAGGGGUAGCCUUCCAGACAAUGUCCGGGCAACAAUAACAAAGAUAUGUGCAUUCAUGAACGCAAUUUCGCAGAAGGUCAUCGAUCCGGAUAGAUUAGAAGCCCUUCAGAAUGAAGUGGUGCAAUGUCUCGUCAGUUUUGAGUUAAUAUUUCUACCUUCAUUUUUCAAUAUAAUGACGCAUCUGCUUUGUCACCUUGUGAAAGAGAUCCGUAUUCUCGGGCCUAUGUACCUACACAACAUGUUUCCUUUCGAGAGGUACAUGGGCGUUCUGAAGAAGUAUGUUCGUAACCGUGCUCGUCCAGAGGCAAGCAUCGCCAAGGGUUAUGGAACAGAGGAGGUCAUCGAAUUUUGCGUAGAAUUUAUCGAAGACCUUCGCCCAAUCGGGGUACCUGAAUCACGCCAUGAAGGGAGACUACGGGGAAAGGGAACUCUCGGAAGGAAAGCAAUAACGACGGUAGACAACAAUUUAUUCCGUAAAGCCCAUUUCACUGUUCUGCAACACUCUUCAUUGGUAGCUCCUUACAUCGAGGAGCACUUGGCUCUAGUUCGCGCCAGGAACAUCGGUAAGUCCGAUGCAUGGAUUACACGGCAUCACAUUGAUACUUUCCCCGCGUGGCUACGACAACAUCUCAUGGGUAACGAGUCGAUCAACCAACAACUUGCCUUCCUGGCGAGGGGACCGUCUGGGUCGAUCGCGACAUUCCAGGGAUAUGAGAUCAAUGGGUACACAUUCUACACAAGAGCCCAAGACAUGAAGAGCACGAACCAAAACAGCGCUGUUCGUGUCGAUGCCAUGGGACACGAUGGAACAACUGCCACGUAUUACGGUGCCAUCGAGGACAUAUGGAACUUGACUAUGGUCCUCUCAAGGUUCCUCUGUUCCGGUGCCAAUGGGUUAGGUUGACUGGUGGAGGCGUAAUGAUUGAUGACAGUGGGAUGACAACUGUUGACCUUAACAAGGUUGGAUACUCGGACGAACCUUUUAUCCUUGCCAAUGAUGUAACGCAAGUCUUUUUCGUGAAGGACAUGUCUAGCAAAGGAAAGAAGGGCAGAGGGCCUGAUGAGCCUAAGCGUCAAGUGGUUCUCCCAGGCAAAAGAAAAAUCGUCGGAGUUGAGGACAAGACUGACGAGGAUUACGAUCAGUUGGAUGGGCAACCCCCUUUCACGGUGACGAUUGACCCUAGCAUCCUCCUAUCAAAUGAAGACACCCCUUACUCACGCAGCGAUCACAAGGAGGGAACAAUAGUGAGGAGAAAGUACGUGCCGUAAUUAUUGUGUACACGAUGUAAACUAUUUUGGAUGUAUUGAUUAUCCAUAUAAAUCAAUUGAUGUAUGGCAUAUGUUAAUUACGCACGAUUAUUAGAGGUUUCAACAAGUUUAAAUCAUGUAUAUGCUAGUUAUAUGUGAUACUUACAAUUUUUAAAAGUUUUAAAUCACACAGGUGGCAAUUUCAUAUGUAUGUUAAUUAGAGUUUUUAACAUUUAAUUUACUAGCAUUCAUAUGCUAAUUAUAAUUGACUAGAGGAUUUUUAAAAGUUUUAAAUCACGCAAGUGGCAAUUUCAUAUGUUAAUUAGAGUUUUUAACAUUUAAUUUACUAUCAUUCAUAUGCUAAUUAUAAUUGACUGGAGAAUUUUUAAAAGUAUUAAAUUUAAUAUAUUUUUAAAACUAUCAUUCAUAUAUUAGAGUUUUUCACAAUUUAAUUUACUAUCUUUCAUAUGCUACUUAUAUAUGACUAUUCGAAUUUUUAAAAGGUUAAAAUCAUGCAUGUGGCAUUUACAUAUGUUAAUUAGAGUUUUUAGCAUUUAAUUUAAUAUAAUUCCUAUGCUAAGUACAUAUGAUGAUUACAAUUUUUAUUAAUUUUAAAUCAUGCAGUAUGUACAUACAUAUCUUAAUUAGAGUUUUUACCAAUAUAAUAAUAUCAUUCAUAUAUAUGCUAAGUAUAUAUGAUUAUUGGAAUUUUUAUUAAUUAUAUUUUCUUAUUACGAUUUAUCCACUUAAUUUAUUACAGCCAAAAAUAAUUUUUCGAAGUAAUUGUCAUUAAUCUUUGUACUUUAAAUAAUGUUAAUGCAUUAACUUCUAUUUUAUAAACACAUAUGUAAGCGAAAAUCAUAUGCAGUGCUAUAAUCUUUAGUCCCGGUUCUUAACCCUAACCGGGUUUAAAAAGAAUUUCGAAAUAGCGGGAAAAGAUAUUUACUCCCGGUUGUUGAGAACAACCGGGACUAAAGAUAUCUUUAGUCCCGGUUGUGGAGAACAACCGGAAGUAAAUAUCUUUUCUUUACUCCCGGUUGUUCUCAACAACCGGGACGAUAUCUUUAGUCCCGGUUGUAGUCCCGGUUGUUGAGAACAACCGGGAGUAAAGAUCUUUUCUUUACUCCCGGUUGUUCUCAACAACCGGGACUAAAUAUCUUUAGUCCCGGUUAUUGAGAACAACCGGGAGUAAAGAUCUAGGGGUAUAUAUAUUCCCGGUGCGCCCUCGUCUUCUUCACCAACACUUAAACUUUUUCGGCCGAUCGAUCUCUCUCGGCCUCUCUCCUUCGCCACCACUGCCUAGGGCAAAUCCCCGCGCCGACGCCGCCGUAUCUCGCCGUCGUCUCGAGCUCGUCGUCCUCGCCGCCGCCUCCGCCUCCUCCGCUGCCGCCGCAUCUCUGGGGUGAGAGCCGCCGCCACCAGAUCUCCCUUCAUGCAUCUCGAUCUCUCCGAUCUCGAUCUCUCUCUGUCGCGCCGCCCGCCACGAGACACCGCGCCACGACGACGACGCGCCACGCCGCCGCCUUCGACGCCGCGCCACGCCGCCGCCGCAUGCCAACGCCACGCCGCCGCCGCCGUCGCCACGCCGCCGCCGCCUUCGCCGCCGCGCGCGCAAUGCCGCCGCCGCCACGCCCCGCCGCCGCCGCCACGCCACGCCAUGCCACCGCCGCCCACGCCACGCCGCCGCCGUCACGGCCCCACAACGCCACGCCGCCGCCGCCGUCGCCACGCCGCCGCGCCAACCGCCGCCCUGAUGCCGCCACACCGCCGUUAACGAACGAGAACGAGAACGAUCGAACGAACGAGAGCGAGAACGAACACGUCAACGUACGUUGCCGCGACAACAUGAACGAGAACGAGAACGAUCGAACGAACGAGAGCGAGAACGAGAACGAUCGAACGAAGACAAGCGAGAACGAGGGAACGAACGUGAAUGAGAACAAGCGAACGAACGUGAAUGAGAACGAGCGAACGAACGUGAACGAGCUAGGGAACGUGAAAUGCAAUAUAUAUAUAUAUAUAUAUAUAUAUAUAUAUAUAUUUGUAUAUAUAUAUAUGUAUAUAUAUAUAUAUGUAUAUAUAUAUAUGUAUAUAUAUAUAUAUAUAUAUGUUACUUCGCAUUUAUCCUAAUACAUUUUUUUGUAUCUUGCAGAAAAGACGUGUUGUCGGAGUCGUCCGUCAAGCCUGAGUGGAAGAGCUAGCCCUAGAAGGAAUUGGAGCAGGCAAGUGACGUAAUAAUAUAAAUGAUUGUUAUAUUUGUAAUGCAAUUAAUUAAGAUUAUUAGACCUGUAAUUAGACUUAUCAUAUAAGAUUGUGUAGUGUUCUAAUAUUAUUUGAGUUUUAAUAUAAGAUUAUUUUAUUGCAAAUUAGACUUAGUUUGACAUUAUUGACUACAGAAUUGGUGCGACUCCUAGCAAUUGACUAUUGUAGUCUUAAUUAGAUUUAGCAUAUACGCACGAAACACUUAGCAUACAUUACUAUUUUAGUCUUAGCAUGUAAUAUUAUUUGAGUUUUAAUAUAAUAUUACUUUAUUUGUAAUUAGACUUGGUAUGUAAUUAUUGACUACGGAAUUGGUGCGACAAGUAGCAAUUGACUAUUGUAGUCUUAAUUAGACUUAGCAUAUACGCACGAAACACUUAGCAUAUACAUGACUAUUUUAGUCUUAGCAUGUAAUAUUAUUUGAGUUUUAAUAUAAGAUUAUUUUAUUUGUAAUUAGACUUAGUAUAUAAUUAUUUACUAGCUAGGGUUGUAUAAUAUACGUCACCCUAGACUUAGCUUAUAUCACGAUUUGUAAUUAGACUGAGCACGUAAGGUUGUGUAGGGUUCUAAUGUACGACAUUUACACUUAGCAUACAUGACUUAGAUUGUUAAAACAUAAAUGUCUCGUGACUUAGCAGAUGUUUCUUGUAUCAACAGAUGGCUGACCGCGAUGAGGAACAGAUAUUGUACGAUACAAUCGUGGAGGGAAGCAGCCAGUACUGGAAUGAAGAAGAGGGGAACGAGGAUCCAAACCAGUACUUGAACGAAAAAGGGAACGUGGAGAGGGAUGCGGAGGGGAACCAGCAGGGGCACGUGGAAAGGGAUGUGGAGGGGAACCAGGAGGAGGAGGCUAGUGGUAGUCAACCCUCCGUUGAACAGAAGAGGGCACGCGGGCAACGAGGUGCAGCGAAGAAGCUUGAGGGUCGGCACAUCAUAACGGAAGUGGAAGAAGAUGGACGUCCUAGUGCCCCGGCCGAAGCCGCCAAGAACUAUGUACGUCACAGCGGUUGGGUUGUGCGGGAUAACGUGCCUGUCAGUACGGUGUACUGGCGAAGAACAAGGGCACGCGGAGAUCAUGAGAGCUUUGUCCCAGAUUCGGAGAAAGAGAUGCUGUGGACCACAAUGCUCGAGACAUUCACCCUUCCUGCGGGUACAGAGGACAAAGUGAAAAGGUGGACUCUGAAGAAAAUGGCAGAACAGUUUCAGAGCUUCAAGGGAGAUCUAUACCAGAAGUAUAUACUGAAGGGGCAGACACCGAACUUCGACACAUUCCCAAAGCUAAGGGAUCACUGGGACGAGUUCGUUGCAUAUAAGACAGGUGAACAAGGGCAGGCGAUGAUGGAAAGAAACAAAGAAAAUGCCGCCAAGAAGAAGUACCAUCACCACUUGGGGUCAGGAGGCUAUAGCGUCGCGAUGCCGAAGUGGGAGCAGAUGGAGGCUAGAUUGAUUGAGAGGGGUAUCGAACCGGCAACAGCCAAUUGGCCGGAACGAUCGAAGUUCUGGUACUAUGCUCACGGUGGAACGCUCAACCCAGCUGAUGGCUCACAGGUCUUCGGCUAUCAGAUACAAGAGGCUGCGCGACGACUAACAGAUGCAGUGGAAGCCUCCUCUCAGGGCACGUUCCGACCAGACAGAGAUAGGGACGAGCUGACACUCGCCCUGCAGACUCCAGAGCAUCCAGGACGAACUCAAGGGAAAGGGGUGAUUCCUUGGAAGAUUGGUUUCAAGGAGGACAUCCACACGUACAGGAGUCGGAUGAGGAGCAAGAGAGAUACCGAGGCGAAGAUUGCAGACCUAGAGUUCCGGGUAUCGAGCUACGAACUCAACAUGCAAGAGGAGGUGGCAAGGAAGGUUGAUGAACGCAUGGCCGCACAUCGGUCCCAUGAUCCCCAGCCGACCAUUCCUCCUGCAAUGGUGAGCCCGUCAGGAAACCGUAGCAGCUGCGCCUCAACGGGGCAGGUAGGAUCACAGAGCAUGGACGCCAUACAAACACAGGACGAAUCGACCUGUCCCGUUGAUGACAUCACUCAGCGGACACCAUGUGAGCUGCAUAUUCCUUUCAAGAACUUAUCAAUAAAGGUAAGAUUUAGCCAUUCCGCUAGUUGCUGCUUAUAUAUGUUGAUUACUAAUAAAUAAUCUCUCACAACAUGAAGGUGGCGUCGGGCAUGGCCAUCCCAACGGACCCUUCAGGUACUUACCACUGCAGGCCGAUUCCAGCAGGAUACUCCAAGGUCGAAGUUGAGUUGGUCGAAGGCGCGUACGAGGACCUCGAGCUAGAUUACCCUGGAGGAGACGGUGAGACGCAUCUACGAGACACAUGCCAUGCCAUUAUUCUAUGGCGCAGGGUGGGCGACAAGCGGCGUCUCGUGCACCAUCUCCUCCGGCUCCGCCAUCUCCUCCUCAGGAUCCUGCACCGUCUCCUCCUCAUGCUCCGCCAGCACCGUCUCCACCUCAGGCUCCAGCAUCGACUCCUCCUCAGGAUCCUGCACCGACUCCUCCUCGUGCUCCUACACCUACUCCCCCGCAAGCUCCUCUUCCGGCACCUUCAAAGUCAAGGGCCACCCCAACUCCACCGCUUGCCCACACAAGGGCAACAAAGAAGGCGAAAGUUGACGCCGCCAAGAACAAGGACCCGGGGUACGAUUGCACGCAAGAGGAGCUUGACGCUUACGUUGCAUCAGAAGUCAAGAGACAAUUCAAGCCUCGAAGUCCAGAAAAGAAGAUUCCUAUAGACCCCAGUGUCAGGAACUUCUUCAGGGGUAUAUCUGCAUCUGUCAAGGAGGCCAUCAAGCUAUCGGACUAUGAGCGAACGCUGAAGAAAGCAUCUUCUGGAAAGUCCAAACCAGUCCCUCAGCUUGGAGAGCAACCAAACCAGGAGAUCGAGCCGUUGGUGACCGGUAAAGAAAUGACGAUAGAACAAUUUAUUACUGACACCGGUCUAACUACGGAUCAAUUGCUAGGAGUCGCACCAAUCGAAAAGGCAGAAGUGAAAUACAUGUACGAACUCGGUAAACCGCUUGUCAAGCCUGAGCUGCUGCAGUCCCUACCCACACAAAUGUACAAGUUCCAUCAGCUGUACAUGGAGAUGAGCGCCACCGGUAGAGAGAUGAUCGGAGCGAGGAUCAGGGACACGGACUUCUUGCAAGGAGAUGACAUUCUCUGGAUCAAUUUCAGGGGAAUCUACGAACUAUACCAGCUGGACGCCCUCGACGUCUCUAUUAUAAGUUGCUGGAUUUUGUAAGUAUAUCGUUCAGUUAGAUUUCUUACUAUACGUCUCCUUUAAUUAAUUAGGUCCUUGUAUAUAAGUAGACCAUAGAAAAUAAUAUACUCCCUUUUAUCGUUGUAGAAUGGAGAUUCAAAGGGCCCGACGGCGGAGGGUUUUCGAUACUGGAUUCAUCGACCCUCGGAAAGUAAACGUCGCAAUGCUCGACCAAUAUCCACAAGAAACAGAGGACAAUCUCGUCCAUCUCCUGAAGGCGCAGCAUUACAAGACGUUCAUACUGUUGCCAUACAACACAGAGUUAGUUUAAUUUUACUGUCUUCCUAGAUACCAAAUUUCAUUCCCGUACGAACUUGCUAAGUGUUUCAUAUGUAAUGCAUUCCACGCACAUUGCAGAUUCCACUGGGUGCUUUUACUCAUCGACCUGGAGGCCUGCACCGUCAACGUAUAUGACUCAAUGGAUAAAAAAGAGUCUACGUUUGACAAGGUUUUCGAACUUAUAGACAGGUACCGUCAUAAGUUCCUUUGUUAAUUAAGAAAAUCUUGUUAUGUUAAUUGCUACUACGAAUCAUAGCUUUAAACUCCAUGUAGGGCUUGGUAUCGGUUCCGUCAUUUGGUCCGCGGCAAAUGGAGAGAAAGACUUAGGCGGAAGUUCAAAUUUCCUAUGAGUACACAUGCUCUACAUUUAUAUUUCUCCGAUUCAAAUACAUACAAGUGUAUAUUAAUUAGAUCUCUCGUUGUUUGUCAUUUAUUUGUAGUGCGCAAAGCAAAAGCAGGGAACUAACUUGUGCGGCUAUUACGUGUGCGAGUAUUGCCACUGCCUUGCAGACCAAAUCAUCACCACAAGAGAGCUCGAUGUACGUACAAAUAAAUUCAAAAUUUCAUUACGUAGCGAUUUCUUGUUUAAUUACUAAUCAAUUUCAUACAUUCAUAUAGUUUAUUCGCAUGAGGGAUAACCUGACCACACACAAAGAAUUUAUCGCGGCGGUUCAAGAACAACUCAUGGGAUUCAUCAACGAAGAAAUCCUUGAUCCCAAGGGUGAAUUCUACUACGACGGAAACACAAUUCACCGGUCCUUAGCUUCUGAGCUACUACGUCGAAAUCGUAGCUAGCUAGGACAUAUAAUGGAUUGUAAUUAAUACAUGACUACAUAUGUUUCUAUAUGCAUGUGUACACAUUUUCUAUAAUGUAAAUAUAUUUUGUUCAUAUAUAUAUCUAUAUACAUAUGCAUUUGCAUAACAUAUAUAUGUAUAAAUACAUAUAUAUUAUGCAUGUAUAUACAUAUAAUAUAAUAUAAUAUAUAUAUAUAUAUAUACAUAUAUAUAUGUAUGCAUAUAUAUGUAUUGAAACAUAUAUAUAUGCAUGGUUUAUAUAUAUAUAUAUAUAUAUAUAUAUAUAUAUAUAUAUAUAUAUAUAUAUAUAUAUAUAUAUAUAUAUAUAUAAACCAUGCAGCAACAGGGGCAUGCAAAAAAAAAAAAGGUCAGCUCGAUCUUUAGUCCCGGUUGGUGUUACCAACCGGGACUAAAGAUCGAUCUUUACUCCCGGUUAUUUCACCCGGGACUAAAGAUAGCGAUCUUUAGUUCCGGAUUGGUACUCCCGGUUUGGAAACCGGGACUAAAGGGGGGUUACGAACCGGGACUACAAAGGGUUUCUCCACCAGUGGUACAGGCACAAGCACAACUUCUGCCUGCUGCUUGCGUGAGCCCGCAUGGUAAGAAGCUAAGCUCAACGAUUGGUGGAUGUGACAUAGUCGGACACGUAGGAUUAAUUCCUACUUAUAGCAUUUUCAAACUGCCGCACCGGCAAGGCGACAUGACGGUCACUAAAACCCAGUGGCACUGGCCGCCGCCGUCACUUCGUCCAUCCGCCGCUGCAGCCUCGCCGUCUUCUCCUCGGAGAGCGUCCUGGCCAUCCUGACGAGCGCGUCGGCGUUGCUCCCCUCGUCGGGCACCUUCUCGUACCUCCCGGUCUCCACGUUGACCCUCGUCACCUGCUGCCCCAGCAUGCGCUCGCCGACGCCGACGAGCUUCCUCAUGUUCUCCGGCGUCGCCUCGUCCAGCGCCGCCGCGGUGCUCCUGAGCGAGUCAUCCUGGUCCUCCUGGAUGCGGAGGUAGUUCCCCUCGCUGUGGAACAGCUGGAAAUUGACGCCGACGUGGAUGUCGACCAUGUCGGAGCUCCCCGCCAUGAAGAUGUCGAUGAUGGGCGCCAUCCCCCUGUGCCGCAGCCACCCGAGCGCCCCCCACCGGGAGCAUUUCUCCGCCGUGUACAGCCCCUCGUCGGAGGUCAGUCCGGUGCCGAUGGACAGGACGAGGAACCGGCCGCACUCCUUCUCCGGCGGCUUCGUCAGGAGCAGCGGCGCCUUCUCCUCCGCUAUCAUCUCCUCCGUGAUCAUCGUCAUGGCUACCAUCGUCUGCAGCACAAACACGAAGCAAACGUUGCAAACAAAUCUCUGGUCGAAUCCGACGAAUCGUCUAUGGAUUAUUGGAAAAUCUCUGAUGGAGUGUGACUGAUACAGGAUUGUUGGCGGCGACGCCGCCGUCGAUGAGGUUGUACUCGCGCGUUUCGCCGCUGGCGUCGUCGUGUGUCUGGAAGUAGUGCGCGGGGAGGUACGUCGGCGCCGCCGACGUGCCGAUGCAGACGUCGGAGAGCCGCGCGUUCUUCAGAGUCGAGUUCUUCGCCUGCAUAGACGCAGGCACCAAGAAUUUAACCACAUCUCUCUUCAUGAGAAUAUCAAUGGCGCUCGCGCGCGCGGCGCGCACGUACGUACGUCGUAUGUGGAGAAGAUGACGGGCUGGAGCAGCCGGACGUCGAAGGUGGGGAUGACCACAUUGGUGAGCGUGCCGUCCACCGUCGUUUCGCCGAGCACCUCCCGGACCAUGUCGCGGAGGUACCUGCCGUCGUACUUGGGCCCCCACACCGCGGCGACGGUGGAGGCGAGCUUGCCCCACCUCUGGGGGAAGAUGCGCGGGCCGUGCUCCUGGUAGAACGGGCAAAUCUCACCGGCGGCGAACAUCGGCCGCCGCGGCCCGUCUCCGUCCUCUUUGGGGGUGGCGAGCAUCGCGGUGAUCAGCCCGCCGGUGCUCGUGCCGGCGAUGUAGUCGAAGUAGUCGGCCAGCCUCGCAUCUGGCCCGUCCAGCCGCUGGAGCUCGGUCUCCAAGAACUCGAGCACCUUGCCUGGGAUGAUCCCCCGGAUGCCGCCGCCAUCGAUGGUCAGCACCGUCACCCUCUCGCCGGCGACACUGCCGGCGGCGGCGCUGCCGCCAUGGAAAAACUCACUAUGAAACGGUUGAGACAUGGCGUAGCAUAUCCUCUAAAUCAAAACCACCAUCGAAAUCAUCACUAUCGGUGGAAACAUCGACAACCAUUCUUUCACGCGACAUGUCUUCGAUUAUAAAAUUCUCUGCCUCAUUCAUCUCGAAACUUAACUCUUCAUCGUCAUCUUCCGGAUUGGCGAAUUCCCCGUGAUAGGUCCAAACCUUGUAGUUGGCGGUGAAUCCGUACUCCAUUAUGUGACCCAAUAUUUCACCAGGAUCUACCAACAAUUUCUGAUUCUUGCAAUGACGACACGGACAAAAGAUCUUUGUCAUAUUCUCCCUCAAAGCAUGCUCCUUAGCCUGAUCAAUAAAUUUAGAUGCUUCCUUAAUAAAUAUCGGCUGCGUUCUCCGUAUCUCAUACAUCCAUGACGACCGAUCCAUCUAAUUAUAUAAAGGCAAAAAAGUUACAGAUAAAAAAAUAGACCGCAGGUAUUUCAUACAAAAGUUUAAAUGCAUUUGUCUCCCAAAAAAAAUACAACAAUACAUGUAACUAGUAUGUACGAGGGGGUCGGUAGGUUCCAAUACUUAUCACACUGUUUAAACAGGUUGCAAAGCUUUUGGUUUCUGCAUCAGAAACGACAGUAGAUUCUUGAAGCAAUAUGCAACCAGAUUUAGGACAAAGUUUAUUUUCGAUAGGUUAUUAGUUGCGAGUCUGCGAGGAAAUAUAGAAACCAUCAUGAUAUCUCAACCGUUUCAUAGUGAGUUUUUACUUGAAUGUUUGAUAAGUAGAUGGGACAAAUAGCUAGAUUUCAGCACACAUGCUACAGAAUAAGGAGUUUAUCCUACAGAAUAUCUUUAUGACAAACAAUUUUCUGGGAACGCCAAAGUUCUUUAUUGUGAAUAUCAGCAGAUUAGUUGAUAAUCUACUCAAUCUACUGGUUUCCAUUCAUAGUGCUAGCUGGUGUAGUUGCCACAUUUUUUUCCUUCUUAUUCUUCAUAAGGCCUUCUGCUUCUUUCACGAGAGAACCGAAGCUUUCAGUCUUCUUUCCGGUAUGGUCGCUGCUAGAUAACAUCAUCAACGCUUCCAGUUCAAACAUUUGUUCGGAAGCUUUGGACAGAGAUACCAUCAAGUUCUCCAGCUCUUGUUUGGGGUAGCAUCCUUCAAGUUUUAGCAGUGAUAUGAUCAUCCUAGUGGCAAUCUUCAGAAUUCUCAGGCAAUUGACUGUUUGUUCACUGUUUUGAUCUACCAUCGUCCUCAGCUUACCGACAAAGCUGGAUGCAGAGUCUCCUCGGGCAAUUUCACCAGCAAGUGUAUCCAAAUCUUUACCAUCUCUGAUCCGUUUUUCAAAUAUUGCCACACUAAGUGACAGUAAAGCUGCAUGUAGUUUCCUCGUCCUGUCCUUUUUUUUCUUACCAAUGUCCUCCUUCUGGUCAUUGACGUCGACAUUAUCUUUCGAAGCAACGGCACCAGCACCUUCUUCAAUGUCAGGAUCUGUCUUGGUUCCGUCUGUUCCUUUUUCUGCCUUUUCUGCUUGCUUUUCUCCUUGCUUAGGUGGAGAGAGAGAGAUAAAUAUUUCGUUGAGAAUCUGCAACGGUAGGAUUGAUGCUUAUUAUUUGGCAAGGAUAAAAAUUCAAGAUGCGGUUAGUUAAAUAAGAAUAAAAUCAAACAAAACAAAUGCCGCCAUUUAUUUGAAAUUUAUCGAUCGCAGGACAUACCUUCGGUAGCACAUUUUGCAUGGCUUCCAUCAGUUUCUUGAGAUAGGAGGCUUCCUUUGUCCUGUGUAGAUGCUCGAGUAUUUCUGCUGCGCAUAUUCUGUAUUCUGUUUCCUCAUCAUCUAAAAGCACUGUCUUGAGAUCACGGACAACGGUGUCACUUGCCUUGAAGAUAAUGGUGGCAUUGGCAUUGGCAUUGCUUUUAUUUUGGUCGGACAGCAGUAUUGCCAGUAUGCCAACUGCCAUUUUUCUUGUGGAGGCGUCCUUGUUAGUCAAGAAGAUGUCUACGAGCAGCCUGAUGUUCGUUUCGCUAUAUGUUGUGUCUAUAUUCGAAGACGUCGUCGAAAGUGCUUCCAUAGGAUGCUGUUGCUGUGUGAAGAUGUUAAUGGCCUGCAUGUGGAGCUUCUUGUUGCUUUGGCAUUGCUUACAGAUGAUAAUGUUAUUCACUCUGAUGUCGUCUUUGUGAAUCGUCAAGAUGUGGGAGCGCAGAUCGUCGCCGGUCUUCCCAGGGGCGCUGACAAGCUGGGACAUGAGCUGCAGUGACUCGGUCACGAUGUCCUUCCAUGCGUCGACAUGGCCGUUGUUGUGGAUGUGGAGCAGGUCUUUUCUGACGGGCAGCAUGGCCUUGGAGAUAGUGCUCUGCUUUUUGCCGAUGAGAAAAAGGUUGUGCUCGUCGGCGGCGGCGAGCUUCUGAAGGAUGACGCGGCCCAGCACCAUGAGAUCCCUGUAGUGAGCGGACGGCGCACUGUCUCCGUCUUGCUGCUGCUGUUCCUGCUGCUCCGUGGUGGUGGUGUCGAGCAGCGACGAUAUGCACGAGAGCGCCUCCGGGAAGCUGGCGAGGCUGAUCUCGCCGGCGAGACGCGACACGAUCCGGGCGGCGUGCACCCGGAUGUUCCGGUUGUACUGGCUCGCGGACCGAAGCGACCGCAGCAGCUUCUUCAUCACCUUCCUGGAGGACGCCGAGCCGACCAGCUUCCUGAUCAGCGCGUGCUGCGCCGUCAGGUCCUUCUGCCCGAGGAUCGUGUCCAGGAUCAUCGCCCCGGACACGUAGUCGCUGGACUUGGACUCCGGCUUCAUCAGCUCCACGGCAAACGUCACCAGGUUCCACUCUUCUAGGAAGGAUGGAUCCUUCUCGCACCGGAUCUUGGUCUUCUUCAUGUACACCUUCACCAAUUUGCGCCACGCCCCCGCCCGCGCCCCCGCCCCGCCAGCCUCCUUACUGUUUUGCCAAUAUUUACUGGCCACCUUUUCGAUCAACCUUUUCCCGGCGAAGUAGGACACCCACUGGUAGAAGAAGAGGACGCCCUGGAAGAGUGCCAGUGAGUAGAGCACAUUGAGCGCCGGAGUCAGGUUGGCGCUGCCGUCGCCGUCGCCGUAGUCGUGCUGUAUGAGGCGCCACAGCGAUAGACUAGUGCUGAUGACCAGCCCAGACAGGUAGAGCACAGCCAGAGGGCACAGUAUGAUGGCGAACACCACCGCCUGGAUGAACGUCACAAGACGUCCUGCUCGUGAACGCCACAACUGGAUGCCCGAGUCGAACUCCUCGUCUUCGCACCUGAACACCAUGUCCAUAGUAACCAAGAAGCCAUCGACUGAAUUCACAGCAUGGCGCAGCUUUUCGUUCAGGAGAACAUCGAACACCCUGUUUAGAUCAUUCUUACAAUUACACGAUGGAUAGAGAAAUAUGGUCUCUAUAUCUGUAAGUAGAUAUACACACUUAAAUGAUAAGGAUAUCCUAACUGCACACGAAAAUCAACAUGAUGUAAACCAAAACAAUGAUUUACGUCACCCACCACAAGUGGGAAACGAAGAUGGUGUAAACUGUGAGGAUGAAUUACACCUCAAAAACUAGCUCGAUGGGAAUAUGGUCACAUUUACCGUACCAUGGAUCGAUUAGGUGCAGUCAUGCUAGAAAGGUACAACAGGAGGUGAACUCGCUCUUUAUAAAACUUAACAUAAAUAAUGGUAAGAAGUUUAUACUACCUAAAUGCUUCACAUUUGCAUUACUAUGAUUUACACUAAGGAGAAUGGCAUAUGCUCAAGAUGAGAAGGAUUACAGUUAACAAAAAUGGGCUCCUACACUAGCAACGACUAAUUACGCUUGAGAGAAGACUGUUUACACAACUGAAGGGAAGGCCAAACUCUAAGGUUUAUGCCACCUAGCCAAUCAGGAGACAUGGUGCAUGGCAUACAUUGUUCAAAAGAGGGUCAUUAUAGCUUUGAACACAACAAAGCCCACCUCAAAAGCAUUUUCCGAGGAGUUAGAAUCAUUUUACUGAAUACUGCGUAGGAGCUGAAAGGUCGUGCACGAACCAGAGAAAACUCUUUGCAUUCUUCAUUAUCUUGCCAUUAAACACCAGAACUUGGUUGUUCAUGUUCACACCUUAGUAGGGGGAUGUUUCUAGUAUAAAUACUCCUCUACUCCAUCUAUUAGAGAACUAUUGUUCAAGUGAAAAACUCUUGGAUGAGAGAUUGCUGAAGACCGUGUAUUGUCUUACCCCCAAUGCUCUUGAGUAUUCUUUGGACUUAUGAGAAGGAUUCUCAUAGACCCCCUAGUUCAUGUGUGAAGUAGAUCCGGAUUGUGGUUUUACGAUUUUUUUAAUUGUUGUAUUGGAGUAUAAGAUGUUUCGAAUCAUUCUCUCCCUAACUACUUGGCCGCAUCGACCUUGGUAAGAAUAAAGCUAGCUAUCAUUUUGCUACACGCAGCUAGUUACCGUUAAGCUGCUCUGUUUAUGCUGGUGUUCCUUGCUUCAAACCUAUUGCCCUGAAUUGAAGAUAUAUAUGGACCCCCCCCUUGGUGAGUGAGUUUGUGUCAUAUGUCUUUCUUUGACAUGGUAGGUUUAUCAUUCACAUAUAGCUUCUUUCCAUUAGAUAUUUGAGUGUUCUUAUUGAUUUUGAUUCCAUCCAAUGGUCUACAAAAUACCAAAGCUUUGCUAGUAUCUUGUGUCAUUCGCUUUCAUCGUGUUGCUAGUUCCCGUUGCAAUUUUUAUUGUCGCAACUCCUUUUUGUUUCAUGUUUUUGUUGGUUCAAGUUAAAAAGAUAGGAAAAAAAAAGAGGUGAGAAGAAGUGAAAAAAAUAAAAAAGAUGAAGAAGAAAGGGGACACCAUAUUUUACACAAGAAAGUUGAAGGUUUUGGAUGGUGCUGUAGUAAUUACUAUUAUAUUUUUCUGUUGCUUUGGAACUGCAGCAUAGGUAUAACUGCAAAUUAUGUAGGUAUUCUGUCGAACUUCAAAUGUUCUAACUUUGAUUGAAAUCUCAUGUAAUAACAAAUUAUGUUUCAAUAUUUUUCCCUAUUAUCUCGUAAAAAAUAUUUUUCCUUGUUGAUUCAUGCCAUUUGAUUUUUGAACCUUAUGGCAAUUUCAUUUCCUAAUAAGUAAAUACUAUAUAGCAAAUAAACUUGCUCUAUACUUCGUCCAAAUACAUUUGUUUCAAUGAAUACAUGAUUUUGUUGACAAAUAUAUCUGUUUACAACCAAAUUUGACAUUUGGAUAAAUUUAUAGCAAGUUUAGGCUAGAUUUGUAACAAACAGAGCUUUCCCAUGGCUGGUUGGACCAGAGGGUGAACUGUGGUUGAACCGCUAUUUUGUGGCCCAGUUGGACCGGUGGCCCAGAGUCUGAAUCCAAUCAAGGCAGUUCGCGUGUUUCCUAGCAUAGGCCUAAGGUUAGUUGAGUCCUAAUUGAUCUCUAAGUCUAAUAUCCAAUUAAGGCAGUUCGCGUGUUUCCGAGCAUAGGCCUAAGGUUAGUUGAGUCCUAAUUGAUCUCUAAGUCUAAUAUGACGUGCAAAAGGCUUGUGAAGACAUCAAUUAAAUCAUAUUUUUUACCUUUACCUUCUACCAAGUACUCUGGUUCGUCCAUCUUUAUCGGCAUCAUAAAACAUAUGCUUUUGCUUGAGAGUGUGAAAUCCUUAGGUUUGUCCCGUAAAUCUUUUAAUUCGCUCACGAGAAGAGUAGUUAUCUCCAAAUCAAACUAAAUUAGUCUAGAGGCUGGUUUUCUAAAUCCAUCUUGACCAAGAGCUUUUAUAGAUCAAUGUGAUUAGUGACUCUGCUAGCACCGUAAAUAUUUAGGUGAGUCUAUGUUGGCGAAGAAAACACCAACAAUAUCUUUAAUACAUUUUCUUCUUAUCAAUUUAGUAUUUACUCCCUCCAUACUGAUAAUACUUAUCGUUUUAGACAAGGGUGAGGUCAAACUUUAGAAUCUUUUAUUAUAAAUCAUUUUAAAAAUAUUUGUAUUUCGUAUAUGGUGACUACAUGUAUACACUAGUCUUAAAAAGUAAUUUAAUAAAAUCAUAUAUUUAUUAACACUUUUAUACAUAUUAUAAUAGAAAAUAAUGGUCAAAGUUGUUUUUUUGGGAGAUUGUGCUCUUGUCCGAAACACAAGUAUUAUCAACCCGGAGGGAGUAUUAGUUUAAUAUGAAGAUAUAUAAUACUCCCUCCAUUUCAGGUUAUAAGAUGUUUUGACUUUGUUUAAAGUCAAACUGCUUUAAGUUUGACUAAGUUUAAAGAAAAAGUAAUAGCAUUUUUAACCCAAGAAAAAUUAUAGAAAAUUUAAUAAGCCUAAUUAAUCCGUCGUUAGUACAUGUGGGUUACUGUACCACUUAUGGCUAAUUAUAGACUAAUUAGGAUCAAAAGAUUCGUCUCGUGAUUUCCAUGCAAACUGUACAAUUAGUUUUUUAUUUUAUCUAUAUUUAAUGCUCCAUGCAUGUGUCUAAAAAUUUGAUGUAAUAUUUUUGGGAAAAAAAUUUUGGGAACUAAACAAGGCCUUAGUAUUAGUCAGGUCUUUUGCGAUGUCAAUCAUGUAGCUCUGAGCUUGCAGUUGCUGUGGGAAAGGAGUUUGCUUGCUCUGAGCUUCUCAAGAACUCUCUAUGGAAGAAGGUCGUUUAGCUUGGCAGAUAUAGAGAUGUUAGUAUGUCCCUAGCAGAUGUCUGUUUACCAAUGCUAGUAUAUAGGCAAACUAGCUGGAGUUCCCAGCAAUAAACCUGUAAGAUGCUUAUGCUUUCGGAAAAAAAAAACAGCGCGUAUAGCUAGCCUUUCCUCUAAAAAUCCUACGCAGCAUAAACACGUAGUGAAACAUGAGGUAGGAUGAGUGACAGAGUGUAUGCUUCCUUUCCUAUGGAAUUCCACUAAUGCUACAGUCUCCCAACGAAAUUCGACCGCAGCAUUCCUCCCCCAGAAAUGAACAUCAACAGUAGUAGAAAUUCCUCCAGAGGAACGAAGGAUAACUACUGAAAAUCCUUUGUUCCAAAAGUAGAUUUGUUUAUUAUAGGGAAAGACCAAAAGAGUCAAAUAAAAAGCCACACAGGUUUGGCGAAGAACAUUACUAAGCAGGAAAGCUUCAAAAUAAAUAAAUAAAUAUAUAUAUUGAAAGUAAGCAGUCUAACCCUGCUGUUUGGACGAGUGUGAUGAUGGUGAGACUCCAGAAAUCCUUCUUCUCAAGCAUAGAGACGAAGCCACCAAGAAGAACAACGGUGGUCCAUAAACCCACCAAGAAGCCCACCCCUUUGACGGCCAUCGACAGGUACCCUACAAACAGAGCAUGGUUGUUGAUAUAUUUAACUUCCAGCCACUCAGAGUGAUCAAGCCCAUAAGCCAUUGUUAGUUCGUCCUCAAAAGAGUGAGGUCAUUUGCAAUGGAGCAAGAGAAUGUAUAGACAGUACACACAUAUAUAAUGGAGCAAGAGUGAGGUUUUUGGAUCUGGUUUUCACAAUAAACUGAGCCUACUCUCUUUGUUAUUUUUUUCCCCGGGAAACUCUCUCUUUAUUAAGUAAUAAGCAGGAACUCACUGCCCUCUUUUGAGAUUUUAUCUAGAAAAAAAAUAUAUGUAAAGCUCCUCGCGUUCGAGGCACGAGCAUGGUAAUUAACUGCCUAAACGUACGACCAGCUAGUAGCUGAUAAUUAAAAUACGUUCAGACCCAUGACCUGCAGGACGCGAUCGAGGUCAAAGUAAUCUAUCCCAAUUUGCACGUUCAGCCUAUUCAGUUCAGGACAAAGCAAGCUAGAUCUACGUUAUAAUAAAUCCUACUCCAUUGUCCCAAAAUAAAUCAAAAUUUGCACAUAAAUCUGGACAUAGGGUAUAUCUAAAUUAAAGUACAAAAGUUGAUUUAUUUUAAAACGGAGGGAGUAGAAAAUAAAUUAAAACUAAUGGAUCUUAUAUUGUUGCCUACUCUGCGGAGGCUCAUGCACAAACGCGUGUGCCCCGUGCACGCACGAACACCUUCCCACAAAAGCCACUGGUGUAUGGUUAGGGUUUGGUGUGGGGUUGAGGAGAAGGGUGUGUGCUGAGGAGGGGGAAGCGAUAGGGUUCCCCAUCUUUACAGGGAUGGCUAGGGAGACAGUGGACUAGUACUGAGCAACAGAUCGACCUGCAGUUGCCGCCGGAGUAACAACAUCGACAACGGGCGGCGGUCGGUGUUGGUGAUGGAGGCAAAGCGGAAAUGAGGUAGGGGGCAAGGGAGAAGAGGGAGGGAGAGAGCUGAAGCUGGUGAGUUCCCGUUCUAUUCCCUUAUUGUUUCCUCACAAUUCCAGUGGAGUGAUGUUUCCUCCCAAUAUAGCUAAAGCCAAAGAGCCCACAAGAGUCAUGGUUGAUUGACCUUAAUACCUGAUCCGCCAUGCAAUCGCCCCACCGACUCGACCAUCUUUGACGGAGCAAGACCGACGGUGAAUUUCGUCAUAGUCCCUAGUGGCUUCUCUCUCCUCACACCAAGCUUUGAGCAUGCCAUAUUUGUCUACAUGUAAGUUUAAAAUGCACCCACCUACUGCUAAGGCAGAGGGAUCUUGAGGCUUAACGACCAUUGCUGAAAUGUGUUAUGCAAGCCUAGCCACCUGAACCUCCGUGGUCUGGAGCUGACAUUCUUCACUCUGCAGUUGUGUAGCAUGUGUGCUACUCUUGGCUACCCUCAUGAGAUGGCCUACCACGGUAGGUAGCUGCCUCCUACUGAUGGUGACGACGACUCUCCCAUGCUACUUGGGAGUCCACUGCAGUGAUUCUCACCAAAUCUUUUGCCAAGACUUCGAUGACCGUCACCGUAGGAGGACACAUCUUGUCGGUGGCCUACCAGAAUGUUGCUCUUGUAGCCAUCGACAUGCUUCACCAGCACUACCUGGACGAGCUGUAGCACUCACAGUUCCUCUGUCACCAUCAUCGUGUUGGAUCAAGGGACUACACCAACUUCAGGAGCGCUGACAGGGAGGACGAAACCACCAUCAUACAUCUGGCGCGUACGAUGAAGGUGUAUGACUCGGCCUGCAUCAACUUCCACCAGUUUGUGCGCAGCAGUCUUGUGGAGAACAACAUGAAGAUUUUGGAGCUAAAGUGGGAGAACUUGUAGCUCAAGAAGGAGUUAGAUGCCAUGGAGGAGCUAGAGCGCUAGCUCAAGAUUUUCCAGGGUUGAUUUGUUGCACCAAGCCACACCACGUCGGCCAUAGCCCGAAGAUCAUUGCCCGCAAGAGUAUCUCCAGACCUGAGCUCAACCUUUAUUCCCUUGCUUUGUCUUGCUUCUUGGAGCCACAUCACGCAUAGCCGGAGUCCUUCGUUCCCUGUGAGGAUGGCACCGCUUACCUACUAUCGCAUAGCUAUUAGUCGUGUGUUUUUCUUUGUUUAUCUUCUUGCAAAAUCGUGCUUGUGGGAAUAGUUUAUACCGGUCUGUUGUGGUAUGACUAUAUCACUCGUUUGAGUCUUGUUCUCUUUUUGUGCUUAAGAACUUGAAUCUUUAAUACCAACACCAUUACAAUAAGAACUUUAAAUAAUUUGAGUUAGAUGAUGGAACUUAGUGUUGAUCUCUUUUCUUCUAUUUUGUAUACCGUAGGAUGCUUCGGAUGGUCAACACCAGGAGGAGUGCAAGUACAAAUGACAACAACCAACUAGUAUGCACCAACCAGGGCACCAUGCCACCCCCACUGCCACUGCCACCGCCACCGCCACUGCCUCCCUCUUCUCACAAUGACAACCCCAUCCUCAUCCGAAUCCUCGGGCAGAAAGCAAACAUGAUUGUAGCUUCUCUCUACCACAUACAUAACCCACCCCAGUAUGCUGCACCACCUCCACCUCCACCGCUACCCCCCACCAUCCCAGUCCAAGCUCAUAGAAUUCCUUAGCAUCUGCCUGCCCACUUUGCCUAGCACCACCUACCAAACAGAUGUGUUGGAUUGGUUGCAUGCGGUCAACCAGAAGUUGGAGACUUUCCAUUGCUAUGAUGAAGAGAAGGACCUACAUCAUAAUGGUUAGUGGUAUCAUUUCCUAGCCACCUAGCCUGCCGGAAAACCUAUCACCUUGGGCCAUUUUGCUCGGCAUUACGAAAGAAUCCAUGUGCCUACAGGAGUUAUGGCUUUGAAGAAGUGGGAGUUCGCAAGCGCUUCGCCUUAGAGUGUUCCAAGGGUAUGGAAUCAAAUGGAACGUGUGUGUAUAAUCUAAAAAAGAUGAUUCAACCAAGAACAACAACUAAUGGAAAGCUUCAGAUAGAGAGGAUUCCUAUGGAUUAAUUAUCUUAAUUUAAGUUAACGUAAAACUCUAUCAAUUGCUUCGAGCAUCGGCUUAACCUUGGUCUACCAAGGAGACUCUAGCCUACUGCUCUAUGAUCUACCCGAACGUGGAGGAUUACAAAGGACGGACACACUGUCACCACCUGCCGCCUACCUCUACAACCCAUG